This 55163-nucleotide long non-coding RNA is filed under the name Capsicum annuum. RNAcentral's name for it is "long non-coding RNA (CANN_LNC012119)". Lineage: Eukaryota; Viridiplantae; Streptophyta; Magnoliopsida; Solanales; Solanaceae. The record is from RNAcentral.
UUAUCUAAACCUGUCGUGAGAGUAUCCAUGCCCUUCCAUGUUGCAUUACUCCAGAAUUGAUUAUACUUGAUCUCACCCCUGUCUUGGUCCCUAAAGUACUCCACAUCCUAUUGAAAGUCCACUAUUGGUGGAACAUCUUGCACUCUACCCAAUUAACGCAUUACUCUAAGAGGAGUGUAUGGUCGGGUACAAUUAAGCCACAACAAAACUAGAUGGGGGUCUAUGCUAGAUCCGACCAAGAUUACUUUCGGUCGAAACCAUAGAUAGGUCCACAAGACAUUGCUAUCUAUUCUUGAUUCAAGGAACUCAACCCAAGCAUCAACUUCUAUAGGCAAUGAGAAUUUAGCAAAAACCAUUCUAUGUUCUAUGGUUUCCACUCGACUAGGCAGAUAAUGGUAUAUCACAUCAAAUUUAAGCAAAGAAGGGGCGUGCAAAUGCUCUAUCAUCCAUAGUUGUAACACUAGGUUGCGCCCCUAAAAAAAUUGCAUACCCCCUUUUAUCUCGGUCAAAUCUUUGUAUAUUUUGACUAAGAUCAGAGGUACGAUAGUGACCUUGUCUCCCUUAUCCUUGUUAAAUAAGGCCAUCGCUAUAGAUUGCAACCGAGUAUUAAUACGCCUAUUUUCUAAGGGGAAUACCAAAGUGCCUAACAGAACAAAGGCAAAGACUUCAAGGCGAAGUUUCUCCCAAUUCUUCUUAGUUGUAUAAAAUUCAUCCCAAAAAGAAUCAAAACCGUCUAGGAGGCCAAACCGAGUAUACAAGUAAUCAAAAGAGAUCCAAGAUUGGUUAAGGCAACCCAGAUGGUCAUUAACUUUCGACCCAUAGCAGUAGAGAAACCUAUUUGGAGAGUGACACCGCGCUCAAAUCAUCAUCUUUUUAAUGUAGGAAAAUUUAAAUAAACCCAGAUAUCUCCGCCAGGGUAGGUGUCUUUUCACAACUCCUAAACCUAAAAACCAGACAAGUUGGAUCCCAAAAAUUCAAUGCAGCCUCGAUCAAGUUUGGACGGGGCAUGAUAGAUAAGAGAGAAGUGAGAGUGCCUAGCUUAUUUGAUAACUCGUGCCUUUCUGAGUAGUUGAACGUGUCCCACCACUUGAAUAACUUUUUGGGCACUUUAGAAACCAUUAGGACUUUAGACCUUGGAGGUAGAUCCAUCCUGUAACAACACACAAGGCUUAUGAUUUAACAAUUGAUAAAAGGGGAGAAGUUCCCGACCCUCGGGAUUUUGACACGUACAGGUUAUCAUACAGAAACAAACCACUUUAGACUUAGAUUAAAACAAAUGGUACCACUAAGUGCGGUCAGCCUACUUGGCCAAGAUUAACCGACGACUCUAGACCAGACUAAAAGGGGGAAGACACUAAGCUAGGACCAAGAUAGUGACCAAAAUAAAAUUUUACCGGACCCACCGAGGGUUGCCUACAUAUCCCGCCCCGAAGGACGAGAAUCAGGUACGCAUAGUUCGUCCCGCUUGGACAAUAAAGAAUUAAAUGACAAACUAAACCCUGAAUUGAGAGACACGACUAAAGACAUACUAGUAAAAUCUUUUUUGUGUUUUUAAUUAGAAACUAACACCAACAACUAUGAAAGAAAAAUCUUUUUGAUAUUUUCGUUAUACAAAAAAUGUACAAAGCUCCUAUUGAAAGAAAAUUUUUUUUUUUGGAGUUUUCGAAUUGUGAAUACUUACUAAAGAAAUAAAAGAAGAAUAUUUUUUAACAUUUUUGAUUUUUGGAAAAAGAGUGCAAAAAGUAAAAAAGAAAUAUUUUUUUUAAUUGUGAAAAGCAAAAGCCAUAAAGAACCCUAAAAACUAUAAAAAAAAAAAAUUCUUUUUCUUUUUUUUUUUCUCCUUUUUUUUCAAUAAUUUCUUGCCUACACACUUUGCUUCUAACUCAAGCUUUUGCCCAAAUCAGUCUGUCAAAUGGCCUCGUUACCCUUAAAGAUGCAACAUUUAGCACGCAGGGAUGCUUCAGAGGUGAGUCUUCUACAAAGGGCCAGGUGGGUUCCGCUAGAUCUCAAUAUGAUGCAAAUAAACAUGACCUAAAGGCUGACCUAUGCUGGGGUUUACUAACAAGGCUGUUCAGGGGAGCAUAUGGUCAAUAGUGGAUGCGCUAGCUUUCCACCCACUCCAUACCAGCCGACGGCUCUGCCUCCUAAAAAUAAGGGUGACUCAACUAUAGGUCGUGUACACAGUGUUUACUACAGAACUUGUUGCAGAAAGAAUUGACUCGGGUUUUAAAAAUUAUGCCAGAUAUAAAGCGGUAACACAUAAAAGAAAAACUGUAAACACGUAGCACGUAAACACUCCAUAAUGAGAAACAAAUACAAACAAUAACACAAACAAUGUCUAUACACUCAUAAUGUCAAAACAAAGCCGAUAUAACUCCAAAUAAGCUUAAAUUUUGAAAAGAUUCCCCAGCAGAGUCGCCAGAGCUAUCACACCCCUUUUUCGUACUCCAAAAGAUUGAUUUUAAAGUUUGGAAGGGUUUUAUUUAUUGAGUGACAAAAGAAAAAUAAUUUGUUUCGAAAAGAAUUAUUUACAUUUUUAACUCAGAGUCGCCACUUGGCAUUAUCCGGUGUGUCAAGUCACCUUUAAAAAAUCCUUUUCAAAAUGAUUUGACUCUGUAAAACUGGCUUGCGAAUAGAGAUUCUGGCUAAGAAAUUUUGUUGAUCGAGGGGAAGGUGUUAGGCACCCCUCGAUCUCGUGGUUUGACCACGGUCGCUUGGCGGAGUAUAUCGGCUAUUUUUGAUGCUAGGAAUGUACAAACCACAAAGAAGCACUUAAAGAAAUCAAUCCAACAAACCAAACAAAAUGAAUAAAAGUAUAGUGUUCAUUCCAAUUAUACAGUCCCAAAAUAAAUAAAAUGCAAAAAUAAAUCCUAUCUAACCUAUGCUAAUUCUAACUACGCUUCCUGGCUCUACCUGAUGCCUCGGGCCUUGAUCACGAUCCGCCUUUGCAUACAUGGUACGUCGGGGCAUUCCCCGGUGAAUAAGUACAACAAUCUUCGGGGCAUUCCCCGGCCAAAUGAAUACAUUUUAAUCCAGAUGCGAUAAACUAGAAAACAUUCAACCAAUUUCAACACUCACACAUUCAAUAACUCAUCAUUCCUAAAUUUUGCCUACCCCUAUUACUUGCCCAUCCUUUUUAAUGUACCAUAAUUCCAUCACAUUCCGACAGUAUUCAUGUGCAUUUUAAAUAAAGUAAAUCGACAACAAACUCAAAAUUAAUCUACGUUCAAACUUUAUUCAAUUUGUUAACCCCACCCCCAAAUGGAUUCCUUUGAUCAAUCAAUGAUUAACAAAUUCCUCAGUUCAAAUCACCUUUCACAGUCCCAAAACCAACAUCCAUACAUCCACCCAACGACAAAUCAAGCAUACUAAGCACAUGAGUCAUUCAUACCCACAAUAACAGUUAAUACUACUAAAAAUAUUCAAAACCACGUCAAAAAUUAAAACAAAUCCACAUUCGAGAUAAUCAAAAAGUAGAGUUAAGAGAUGGACCUUUGAAGAAUGAUUUCAUUGAUAAUAAAGUUUGAGAGAACCCAAACUUGAAACCCCAAAUAGAAUACCUCGACGGCGAUGAACCAAAAUCGAUAUUGGGAAAUUUGAAACCUUAAGAUGGAGAACGAAGAGUUGAUUGGGACAGGAGCCAAAUCCCCAAAAUCAGUAUGGAAACCAAUGAACCCAGAUAGAAAUCAUGCCAAAACAAACGAACCCGAACAUGAUUUUUGUGAGAAAACAAUUCCACAAGCCGAUUCAACUAGAAAUUGGUUAUUGGUUCUUAUUUUUAGAUAAAAAAGACUGAAAUUUGAGUUAACGGUGUUUGAAUCAGUCGAACAACAAUGGAUUCCAGCGAGUUUCAAUGAAAAACCAGGGAAAAGAAGCGACUAUCAUCUUAGAUUUGGAUCGACCUGAGGUUGGGGUCAUUAUUUUGCAUCGCCGGAGCUUCGUAGAACUCAAGCAAUGAUGAGAACCACAAAAACAGACCAGAUUCGUGUCACGCUUAGGCAAAAUCGCCAGAAUAGUACUCCAUUUUUGGGUUAUCUCCCCCAUUCUUAGAUCAUCUCUCUUGAAUCUCCUUCCUAAUCUCUACUCGUUCUCCAUCUUCUCAGCUUCCUCUUCUUUUUCUCCUCUCUUUGUUUCAUCUAUGUGUAGGUGUGUAUGAUUGUGAGAGUGAUGGGGAGUUUUUGUGUGUGCUCAAAUGUGAGUGAAGUCCGUUAAUCGUAAAAAAAAAGAAAAAAAAUCCAGAAUUAGAUGAUGGAUUCCAAAAGAGAAGAAGAUAAUUCUCCCUAUGAUGAAGAAUGGAUGAAUAGUAUAUGUUCUUUUUUUUUUUUGAAAGGUUCCCUCUCUCUCCAGUAUUAUGUGUGAAUAUAUCAAUAAAUGGAAAAAUAAUGGUCCUCAAUAAUAGAUGUCUUUGGGAGCAAGAAAAAGAAAGAAAAGGGGAUGGGUCCCCUCUCACGUGCUCUCUCCUUGUGUAUUGUCUUUAUUUCUUUUGGAGAAGAAAAGUUGGGAGAUCACGUGGAUGGGGUAGGGUAGGAGGGUAUUGGGUGGUGAGGUGUUGUCUUUUAAUUUGAGGGGUAGAGGUUAGGUGUCCAUUUUUGAUUGAGUGGGUUGUUGGAAUAUUUAAGAUAAGACAAAAUUAGUUAGGGUUUGAUAUUUGGAUAAAAACAAAACAAAAGAAAUAAAUAAAUAAGUAAAAUAUGAGGUGGUUAUUCAUUUGUUCUUCUUGAAGAAAAUUAUAAGAUGGGGUCAAAGUGCAUGAUAACGGAGCAAUAAUUAUUCUCGACGGGACAAAAUUAUGUGUCAACAAUCAAGAUAGAUUUAUGAUGUGUUGAAAUGGAUAGGCAAUAUAGGGUCGAGUAGGCAAAUUUUAGAACUUGUUGUUUUGGUUGAAUGUUGGAAUGUACGUGUGAAUGUUUCUUUCUAGUUUAUCAUAUUUAAUUCAAAUGUAUUCAUUUAGCCGGAGAAUGCCCCGAGAAGUACUUGUAUUAUUUUAUCUGGGGAAUGCCCCAAAGUAUUUUGUACUCGGAGGACAUCCGUGAUGAAGGCCCGAGGCAUCGGGUGAGGCAUUGGAGCUUAGUCUAGGAUUAGUUUAGAAUAGAAUUUACAUUUUCAUAUUUUUCUAUUUUUGGGACUGUAUAACUCGGAAUGGACACUAUAUUUUUGAUUCAUUUUGUUUUGUUUAUUGGUUUGAUUGUUUUAUGUUUUUUUGUGUGAUUUGUACAUUCGUAGUGUCAAAUUAACCGAUACACUCUACCAAGCGACCAUGAUCGAACCAAGGGAUCGAGGGGUGCCUAACACCUUCCCCUUGGUCAAUAGAAUUCUUUAACCAGGAUAUCUGUUUGCAAACCAGUUUUAAAGAGUCAAAUCAUUUUGAAAAGGAUCUUUCAAAGGUGACUUGGCACACCGGAUUACGUCAAGUGGCGACUCUGAGUUUUGAAUAUAAAUAAUCUUUUUUGAAAUAAAUUCUCAUCUUUUGUCACUUAAUAUUAAAACCCUUUCAAACAUUAAAAAAUAUAAUCUUUUUGGGUUGAAAAAGGGGUGUGACAGCUCUGGCGACUCUGCUGGAGAAUUUUCAGAAUUCGAGCUUAUUUUUGGAGUUGUAUCGGCUUAGUUUGACAUUAUGGGUGUAUAAACAUUGUUUGUGUUAUCGUUUGUCAUUUAUUUUGUCAUUGUUGAGUGCUACAUGUUUAUAGUUUUUCUCUUGUGUGUUACCUCUUUAUAUCUAUCAUCAUGUGCAUAACCCGAGUCAAUUCUUUCUGCAACAAGUCCCGGAGUACACAUCGUGCGCACGAACUCUAGUUGAGUCACCCUUAUUUUAGGAGGGGGAGCCAUUGGAUGCAUGGAGUAGGUGAAAAGCAAGGCAACCACUAUCGAUCAUAUGCUCCCCCGAACGGCCUUAUUAGUAAACCCCAAUGUAGGUCAGCCUUUAGGUCAUGCUUAUGUGCAUUAUAUUGAGACCUAGCGGGACCCACUUGGUCCUUUGCAUCCCUAUGUGCUAAAUGUUGCAUCUCUGAGGGUAAUGUGGUUAUUGUUCGGACUGAUUUGGGGGGGGGGGAGGGGAAGCAUGUGUUAGAAGUAAAGUGCGUAGACAAAACAAUGUUGAAAAAAGAAAGAGAGAAAAGAAAAAAUGAGUAAAAAAAAAGGGUGUCAUAGUUUUUAAAGUUAUUUAUGGCUUUUGUUUUCCAAAAUUCAAAAAGAAUUUUACCUUUUGCACUCAUUUUCUCAAAAAAGCAAAAACGUCAAAAGGAUUUUUCUUUUGUUUCUCUAGUGAGCAUUCAUAACUCAAAAACUCCAAACAAGAUUUGUUUUUCAAUAGAAGCUUUUUAUAAAAGGAAAAUUCAAAAAGAUGGUAGAAGUUUUGGACAUUUCAUAUAACGAAAAUACCAAAAAGAUUUUCUUUCAUAGUUGUUGGUGCCAUUUUUUAUGUGAAGUGUCAAAUUGAAAAUUCAAAAAAAGAUUUUUGUUAUGUUGUUCAUCGUGUGUCUUUGGUCGUGUCUCUAGUCAGGGUGCAAUCUGUUAUUUAAUCGUUAAUUGUCCAAUCUGGACGAACUACGCACCUCUGAUUUUCCUCUCUUGGGAGUGAGAUACGUAGGCAGCCUAUUGUGGGUCCGGGGAUCUUAUUUGAAAAAUUCAAAAAAAGAUUUUCUUCACUCUUCCUUUAAAGUAGGUGUUUCCUGUACAUCUUUAAAAAAAAUCACAAAAAGAUUUUUGUUAAUAGCUUCAAAUCUCAUUUUCAUAUGAAAUUCAAAAAUUGGAAACUCAAAAAGAUUUUUCUUUGGUAAUCAUAGGUUUCGUUUUGUAUAGGGUGUUUAAACCUGAAAAAUGUAAAAAGAUUUUCGUCAAUUCUUUUGACAAUUUAUUAUUUUUGAAGUUUCUGAAAAAGAAAAAAGAAAGGAAAAAGAAUUAAUUGGCCAUUUUGGCAAGACUGCAUGAACUACGCACACCUGAUUCUCCUCUCUCAGGAGUGAGAUACAUAGGCGCCCCUCUUGGGUUCGGUGACCUAUUCAAAAAGAAAAAAAGGUUUUGAAAAAAAAGUGUUGAAUUCUAACGCAUUUUCUAUCUCUUGUUCAGUUAGUUUAAGGUGGUUGGUUUGUGGCAUUUUGGCUGGUCCUCCAUACUGCACCAAGUCACAGAGAAAGUUAUGGCCAACAAGGAUAUCGAGUUUGUUGUCACUGAUCAGAUAAGGAGUUCGGGCAAUGAGAAUUUACGAGCUAAUGAAGAGAUUCAAAAAUUAAGGCAAUAAAUGAUAGAAAUGCAUCGAGCUUGGGCUAAUGGGUUUCCACCUCUUCCAUUUCCCGCUGAUAAUCUGGAAUAUCUUUCUAGCUUACCUCCAGUGUCACAUACAUAGUUUCCUAUUUUUGUUGACACACCACAACAUGCAUCAGGACCUGUUCUGGGGCAACACUAUCCAAAUACUUCCAAUAUUCAUUUCCUCACUCCUCAACACAAAGCUACCACAUGCUUGGCUCCACCCACUGUUUAUGUUUUUGCAGCACCCCGCUCCCCACCCGAAGCUCCUACUAUUAAGGUUUAUCCAUAAGUUGUGCCUCCCCACCCGAAGCUCCUACUAUUAAGGUUUAUCCAUAAGAGAGCCUGUAUUGAAUAUUUUUGCUGAUCAACAUCAUGCUAUUAAGCCCACAUUUAAUUCGACUAAUCCUUAUGGCUAUACUCACCCGCCUGAAUUUUCUCUUAACACUGAGAAGCCUAUUAUAACAGAAGAACAAGAGGAAAUGACCAUAAAAUUGAAAAGCUUGGAACUAGCUAUGAAAGACCUCCAGGGACUUAGGGGGUACAAAAGUGUCUCAUAUAAAGAUCUGUGCAUGUUUACAGGGGUUCAUCUUCCUUUUGGUUUUAAAAUGCCAAAGUUUGAGAAGUAGGAUGGACAUGGCGAUCCUGUAGCAUAUUUGAGACGUUAUUGUAACCAACUAAGGGGUGCUUGGGGGAAGAAAGAAUUACUCAUGGCAUAUUUCGGUGAGAGUCUUUCAGGCCUAGCUUCAGAAUGGUUUGUUGACCAAGACAUCGACAAGUGGAUUAGUUGGGAUGACCUAGCUAAUGAAUUUGUGCAACAAUUCCAAUACAAUGUAGAGUUGAUUCCUAAUGAGAAAUUCCUAACUAACAUGAAGAAGAAGAGUACUGAGACUUUUACAGAGUAUGAGAUUAGAUGGCGUGAACAAACUGCUAGGGUGAAACCGUCAAUGAAAGAAAGCAAGAUAGUGGAGGUAUUUAUUCAAGCACAGGAUGAAACAUAUUAUCAACAUGUGUUAGCUAAAUUAGGCAAGCCAUUUAUUGAGGUCCUUAAAAUGAGGGAGAUGAUAGAGGAUGGAAUUAAGACCGGCCGCAUUGUGAGUUUUACAACAUUGAAAGUGACUACUCAAGCAAUUCAAAAAGGUUCGGGAAGUGUCGAAGGGAAGAAGUAUGAGAAAGAUGCAUUUGCCAUUGUAGUUGGACAACAGGCACGGGUAAGAGGACCACACCAUCGUUACCCACAGGCUCAAAUCCAAGUUUAUGCCCAAGCUCCACAGAAUCUUUCCCAAAAUCCAUUAUACUAUAUUUCCUCACCUACAUAUCCAAUAUACAAUGCACAACCCUAUGGUCAAUUCCUUUCUUACCGACAAUGGCAUGCACCAACUCUUCAGAGUCAUCCUCAAACUUCAUAAACAUACCAAAGCCCUUCUAGGUUUGAUUUUUGAUCCAAUCCAAACAAUGAAAUGAGGCAGAAGUCAAGAGAUAGCUUUACACCAAUUGGAGAGUCAUACGCCAGUUUAUUCUAGAGAUUGGUACAAUAGGGCAUGAUCACUCCUCUCCUUGGGUAUACUUCUGACCCACAUUCAAUAAGUUUUGAUGCUAAUGUAUGAUGUGCAUAUCAUUCUGAUGUUCAGGGUCACAGUAUGGAAGAUUGUCGUUCUUUGAAAGAGAAAUGGAAAAGAUAAUUCAAGAUAAAUCAAUUAUGGUGCAGACCAUUGACAGUAAGGAAAGUUCUAGUCAUGCUGAUAUGCAAACCAGUGGCUAAGAUGUCAGGCAGAACAAUUGAGAAGUCACCUCUCUCCCUACUAGGAGGUCUGGUAGUAUGUUUUAUUUUAUUUUUUGUUGUCCGAAUUAUUUCAGGAUUGUAGUUUGGGAUCUAUCUUGUUUUGUCCCUUUUUCGUUAUGUUCAAACCCUAUCUUUUAUUUUAAUUAAAUGGAGUGUCCCUUUUCCUUUGUAUUUUAAAUUUGUGUUGUUUGUUUGUUUUCUUUACAUAGCACAUUUAUGUUGAUUCUAGUGAAAGACAUGCUAGCAGAAUUUUUAGUCAGAUCUUGAAAUCCAAUUUAAGCAUGAACAUUGAAUUAGAGGGUCAAAGUUAAAAAAGCAUCUGAGAAAAUAGAUAGAGUGCUGAGAUAUUUGGUUACAAGUUGAAGCCUUCUUUGAAAAUUAAGGCAAUUAUUUUGAGAAUCAAAAGAAUAACUUGGUCAUCAAUUGAAAGACAUGUCUCAAUUAGGUCAGAUAGUGGAUGUGUGAUCCUACAUCAAAAGGAAUACAAAAAUUAGCUUAACGAAAGCAUGAGGAAUGUACAACAAAGGUGGAGUUUACAGAAGAAGUAGCGGCGUGCAGCCUCAGUUAAAGUUAAUGCUUAAAAGAUAUCACAAACGAUCUUCACCUGUCAUGUUUAUAUUGCAUGACGUGUACUGGUAUUUUCAAGGAUUGAUAUGAUUAAGGCAUUUCAUUAUGCUAUCCAAACAUUGUGUUAUCCUUUGUUUACCCCAUUUGAGCCUUAGUUUUAUUUUUUUUCAUACACCUCUUUGGAAUCGAGAUAGAGUCAGCAAAGCUCAAAAAAAAAGAGUCGAGCAAAAGAAGAGUGUCAGAAAAGUUUCAAAAAAAAAAGAGAAAAAAAUGUGUUCAAAAAGAAAAAAAAGAAAAGUUAGAAUAUAUUGAUUUUGUGUUCAAAAUCAGGAACUAGUGUUCUGUUCGUGCAUGUUGCGAAUAACUUUCAGUGUGGCUACUACGUUCACGUUGUAAUUUUUAAUGUAAGUAAUUAGGAUCCCUUUUGCUCGAGAUGCAUUAAAAAUCAGCAUAGUAUUAAUGCACCCUUCUCCGUCUGCCUUGUUCGUUUACUAAAUUUUCUAAAAAAAAAAGGAAAUUAACUUGUGUAUAUUUAGUCGUGAUGUUUUGUGCCCGAAUAAUAAAUUUUUCACCCAUCAGAAUCUUAGUGUGUACCUUCUGUACUACGGACCCAUUCAUUACAUACUUGAAUACAUAUUAAACGUUCAUGAGAAUGGGAAGUGUCAUUUGAGAAUAAGGCUUAGAAAUUCCUUUGAUCUAAUAGGGAUAAUAGUAACAUGUGUAAGCUUAUGAUAGUUGAUUAGGUCUUUCUUCUUUCUUCCUUAUUUUUUUAAGCCUUAAUGACUAUAUAAAUCGAAUUAAUUUUUCUUGAUGCCCAUGACUAUAGAAUUCCUUUACGAUAGUUUUAAAGGAAUCGAAGUAUAUGUUUGUGGGUGUGCGAUUUGUUCCUUGUAUAAUAGCAGGUUCAUACUUUUCUGGAAAAAUUGUACAUGUGUGUUGUAUCUCAAGUUCAUGUUUCGUGCUCUAUUAUAUUUAUUUCGUGAUUCAUUUCUUUAUUAAAACUUAAAUUAUUUUCUAAUUCUUAUUUUUCUUUAUUUUCAUGUAAACCCGGGAGUUGGAGUUCCGCAAUGGAACUCAUCUUGACCUAUAGCAUCGGAUCAACAAAUUGCUAGGAUCGCAGAGCCUCAGAGUCGCGUAUAGUAGAAGCUCAAACUCCAUUAGGAGUCUAUAGUAUCUCUUAGUCCGUUCUCUUCAUUUAAUACUCACAUCAUGUUGUUAUUUUUAACUUGAAACUAUAUUUAAUUAUUAGUGAACUUUAUUAAACACUUGUGUGUUUAUAUUGCUUUAGAAUUUAUGAAUUCCUUUAGAAAUAAAUUAAUGUCCUCACCUUGUUGCGAUUAACACGUGACUAGUUAAAUGAACUUUUUUAAAAAUAAAAUAAAAUAAAAAGGGGUUUUAGCAAAUUUAAUAUUGAGAUAACAUUUAAACUAAUUAAUCUCCUCAAAACUUUUUAGAAGACGAGUUUCGUGACCUCAACGUUUUCUUCAAAUAAAGAGAAUUUAGUAUUAUUUUGCAAUUGGAUAGAACUCAAGCUUUUCUUUUAAAAAGAGGCUAUUUAUCAAUUCCAACUUAUUUGAAUAAUUUAAAUUAUAUCAAAUGUUUGAUUCACUUUCAAUUAUUUUUUAAUGCGAGUUUCAAUGUCUAGACCCUUUUUUAAGACCCGAAUAAAUUAAAAAGGAAAACAUAAGGUAAGUAUAUCUACACACUAUCACAUACGAAAUGUUUCAUUGUUACUUUUACUCAAUUUUUAGAAAAAUAAAAUUAUUAUUAUUAUUUUCUACACUUCAUCUCAACCAUACAUUUAUAAGUGUAUUUUUAUUAUUAUCCUUAUCUAGCUACUUUUAACCACUACCUAUUUACAAUUAAAUGAAUAAUAUCAUGGUUUUUUUUACAUUUCAAGAAUGCGCAAGUCUACUUCACGCCAAAAAAUAGUAUGUUAACGCAUUUUGAUAAUAUUUAUAGGUUUUCAGUCUUGGCGAGAAACGUAUUUGUAUAAAUUUACUCCCGAGAUAAAUAAGUUUUUUUUAUAUUUCGAGGCAUAUGCAAUAGUUUACGAUAAAUAAAUAUUUACAUGCCUUUAAAAGUUGUAUUUUCUUUUGCCUCACAAAUGAUUCCUUCAGGCACGUAGCAACUUUAUAUUUUAGCAAAAAUUGUAAGACUUUAUAACAAUAUUAAGGUUAACUUUAACGUUCCGUUUUUAUUUUUGAAACAUGCAUGUGUAUUUUGCAAUACCAUAGAUAGCAUCUUCACAUGUCGUGAGUGUCCAUUUAUAUACUUUGGGUUUUCCUUCAAAUUUGAUGAAUACUUAUGUAGAUUAUCAUUAUAAAUAACAAAAUAAAUAUUUUUCAAAUAUUCUCCUAAACUAAGCGUAAGGACUAUCUUCGGAUAGGCUCUGAGGGGUGCCUAAGACCUUCCCCUUGGGUAACCAAAACUCUUACUCAGAAUCUCAAAAUGUUUUUGAUAGACUAAAACACAGUUUUACAAUAAAAAAUGGUUUUUUCCUAAUUUUCCUAAAAAGUUAAGUGACGACUCUAAAAAAAAUAAAUUUUCAAAUCCCAAGAGUUAUUAAACGCCACCAUACGUCGUGUGCUAUUUCGACCGGUUCGAAAUAGGGUGCGACACUGAUCAUCUUAAUUGACUGAUCUGACUGAGUUCACUUGGUUCCGUUGACUGAAGGAAUACUACUAAGGUCUGAACGGAAUAUUGAACUUGAUUAGAUUGAAUACUGAGAUUGCUGAGUUUUCUUAACUUCUGUCACUAACUGAGAUAUACUGAUCAUAGCACGACUGAGAUUAUUUUGAGACUGACUCAGCUCUAGACAAGCAGUUAAGUUUUUGGGUAUUAAAUACCCCUAAGACUCGACAGCAUAAAUAAAUAAGACACGACAACUCUUGCAUAACAACAAUGACAAUAGACUAUCAUUCGCAGCAUAAUCAAUGAAGUAUCAUUUCGAGCACUUGAGAAUCUUAAACAUGUAAUUGUAAAGGAAAGCAUGCUAUUGUCUCAUAACUUAUCCAACAAGGAAUUCACAUGAAUAGGAAUACAUGCAACAUAUCAUAAUUCAUUCAUUUAGGCCUUUUAACAAACACUUAGCAUGCACUAGUUGACAUAUGCUUGGGAAUAACAUACUUCAUGUUGCAAUGACACUAUUUUCUUCACAUAAGCAAUUUAUCAAACAUGUGGGAGGCACCUUUUGGCCAUACAACAUUCAAUACACCAAAUUAACAUAAUUACAUAAUUCAACAUGUUUCUUAGAGGGACUUUAUCAUGAACAUCACAUAACCAACACAUACUAAGGUCAAUACUUGCAUCUUUAUAAUCACAACAUGAAUUAAAACUUAAUAUUAACAUGGUCUUCAACUUCAAACAAUAUAAAUCAUGAAAAACUCAUAAGCAUAAAAUCUUGAAUUUAAAAAGGGAUUCUUGGACUUCUUGGGUGGAAGGAACCAAGAAUCAACAUCCAACAUACCUUGCUAUAUGAUUCUUGAAAAAUUAACGGAGGAAUUUCCUUGAUUUUGAACCUCAAUAGAAACCCUUAUUCUUGUCCUUGAGGAAAAUUGAGAGAAAGCCUUAUAUUUUGGGAGAAAAUAUGAGAAAUCUCAUGUUAAGAAAGCUUAUAUAGGGGUGAGAUUUGACCAAAUUGCCCUUGGAAAAACAGAAGUAAAAUGCUGAAAAACUGGGGACAAGGGCUAGGGAAAGGCAGUGCUUUUUUCAGAGCCUUUUGUAGGCUGGGCGGCGCCUUGCUACUGAGGGAGGGGGCCAAGGCUCUAAGCUGGACGGCGUCCCUCUGUAUCCUUUAGCUACUAUUUUUUCAACCCAAACACGACCUUAGGCUCGUCUAAAAUUUUUGAACCUCACCCGGAAUGUACUCUUGACUUGCCCCAUCACAAUGCAAUAAGAAAAUCAAGAAUUAGAGGUCGGAAAGGUCACAAAAUAAUUCAUCAAAGUUUCAAAGGCUUAUGGAAUGGAAAAUUUUCAACACUUAGCCAAAUUUUCUAAGUGUUAAGCCUUUCUUGGCAUGCUUUAGAAGCUCUAAGGACUUGGGAAUUUUACGGGGUGUUACACUAUUUCAUGCACAACAACCUCUCCAUCUUCAAAAUCCAGAAGUCGCACCCCUAGAUUUGAAAGCCGAUGAAUAUCUUUCACCAUCUUUAUUUUUCUUUCCUCAACAUGUGCAAGAAUGCCCAUACAUAGUCUGUUGAUGGCGUCGGCCACCACAUUCGCCUUGCUCGGAUGAUAGUGCAGGCUCAUGUCAUAAUUCUUCAACAGUUCCAACCAACACCUUUGCCUGAGAUUUAGCUCUUUCUGCGAGAAAACAUACUGUAAACUUUUGUGUUUAGUAAAUAUAUCAACAUGUACCCCAUACAGAUAAUGCCACCAUAUCAUAAUUGCAAAUACCAAAAACGCUAAAUCCAAGUCAUGGGUGGGGUAAUUUUGCUCGUGCACCUUCAACUACCUAGAUGCAUAAGAUACCACUUUACCAUGCUACAUAAGUACACAUCCAAGCUCCACUCGGGAUGCAUCACAGUACACAACAAAACCUUUUGUACCCUCAGGAAGGGUCAAAAUAGGUGCAGUAGUCAACUUGUCCUUCAAUCUUUCAAAGUUAUUAUCACAAGAGUCAGACCACACAAAUUUUACGUUUGUCUGUGUCAACCUGAUAAGUGGAGCAGCUAUCGAAGAAAAAAUCUCUACGAACCUCCUAUAAUAUCCCACCAAACCCAAGAAGCUUCGAAUGUCGGUUGGAGUCGUGGGUCUGGGCCAUUUUCUCGCUGCCUCAAUCUUUUGGAGGAUAAACCUUAAUUCCCUCACUAGACACAAUAUGCCCCAAGAAAGCAAUAACAUUACGCCAGAAUUCACACUUGGAAAAUUUUGCAUACAACUUAUGAUCUUUGAGGGUCUGAAGAAUAAUUCGGAGAUGAUUGGCAUGAUCCUCCCCACUCAUAGAAUAAAUUAAGAAGUCAUCAAUAAAAACUAUGGCAAAAAGAUCUAGGAACUGAUGGAACACCCUAUUCAUUAGAUCCAUGAAAGUUGCAGGGGCGUUAGUCAAUCCAAAAGACAUGACUAAGAAGUCCUAAUGGACAUAUCGAGUUCGAAAAGCUAUUUUGGAUAUGUCAGCCACCCUAACCUUCAAUUGAUGAUACCCCAAGCGAAGGCCUAUCUUUGGAAAACACUUAGCACCCUGAAGUUGGUCAAAAAGAUUAUUAAUUUUAGGAAGGGGAUUUUUAUUUUUGACAGUGACAUUGUUCAACUGACGAUAAUCUAUACACAUACGGAGGGAUAUAUAUUUCUUACGCACAACGAGCACAGGUGCACCCCAGGGGAAGACACUAGGACGGAUGAAGCCUUUAUCAAGAAGAUCUGUUAGUUGCUUUUUCAACUCUUUCAAUUUAACAGGAGCCAUUCUAUAUGGCGGAAUAGAAAUGGGACGGGUGUCUGGCAAUAAAUUAAUACCAAAAUCUAUCUCCCUAUCAGGCGGUACCCCUGGGAGAUCUUUGGUAAAGACUUCUGGAAAUUUAUUUACUACAGGAAGGGGCUGAAGAGAAGGACUUUCAAUAUUUAAAUCUUUUACUCGAAUCAGAUAAUACAAACAACUCUUAGAUAUAAGUUUGCGGGCUCUAGGUAAGAGAUAAAUUUCCCUCUAGGUUCUAAAGAAUGCCCCUCCCAUUCUGUCACUGGUUUAUUUGGAAAAGAGAAUGUAACCUUUUUGGUUCUACAAUCUAGAGUGGCAUAACAUGAAUGGACCCAGUCAAUUCCUAAAAUAGCAUCAAAAUCAACUAUAUGAAGCUCUAAGAGGUCUUCCAUGGUAUCCCAACUACAAAUAGACAUAACACAGUUUCUAUAUACUCUCCUAGCCAUAAAAGAUUCACCUACAGGAGUGGAAACAAAGAAAGGUUCUACAAUAACCUCGAGCUUAAACCCAAAAUCGGCUACCACAUAUGGGGUCACAUAAGACAAGGUAGACCCGGGAUCAAGUGACACAUAUACAUCACGGGAGAAAAUUUAUAACAUACCCGUGACUACAUCUAGGAAAGCCUCUGUAUCCUGACUGUUGGAUAAGACAUACAACCGAUUGUGACCGUUUUUGAUAACUGAAGCAGCGCCCUUAGGAGAAGGAGCUGUGGAGGCAGUGUAGGACUUAUAUCCCCCUACAUUACCUCCGAUAUAAGGGCAAUCUCUCUAAAUGUGGCCCAUCUGGCCACAGGAGUAACAAUUUUUCCUCUUGAAGUAACACUUCCCCGGGUGAUUCUUCCCACAAUACUACAAUGGGGAAAUGAUUUGGAGGGCUAUGUCACGCUUCCCUAGGAAUGAGUGUCCUAUAUCCUCCAUCUAUUAUUAGCCUGAGGAUUAAAAGAACGCUGAUCACAUGGAGGUAUGGGUGCUGGGGCACUGACCGAAGGCUUUACAUUACCGCAAGUCUUUAUCUUUGACCACCUGUUACCCCAAUCUCCAUCCUGAUGUUGACUAUAGUUCUGAUCUCCUGGUCUGGCCCUCUUGGCCUGUUUGUCUUUCUCUCUUACUUUAGCAACCCUCUGUCACACCUCAAAUCCUAUUGGGGCGAACUGGCACCCAUAACCGAGGAGGCCCGGGAGAACCAGCUCAUAACCUUAUACUUUCCAUGCAUACCUCUAUGACAACUCAAAAUUCAGACAACAUCAUGUCGUAUAUAAAAGGAAAUAAUCACCUAUAUAAGCUCGAGCACACACAUAUAUAUGUAUAUACAAUACUUGGCCGUUAGAGCCAUCACGUCUAUUAACAAAACACCACCUUGACUAUACAUUAGGUCUACAAAGCCUCUAGACAAUACACAGAUUUUAACUAAGGUCGGGACACACCCCGCCAUAUAACUAACUUCUAUACAAUACCAAAAGUGACUGGAUAUGACACGAAAAUCCCUAAAGCAAACUGGAGCUCACCAAAAUCAGCUGGAUAUCUUGGCUCCUACUUGUGCGGUGUAUGAGCUGAGGUACCUGUGCCUUGCAGCAUGAAAUGCAGGUCCCCCAUGGGGGACGUCAGUACAAAAUAUGUACUGAGUAUGUAAAGUGUAGAUAAUCACAUACGAUAUAGGAGCUCAAUAGAAAUCAGAAACAAGUGAAUAAAUCGUAAUAGGAGUGGACCACACUUAUUAGAACUUGUGACAACCUGUACAUUGUAUUUAUUCAAUCACUUUACCUUCGUUCUUAUCAGCUUUGUAAUCAUUACUGUACUGUACUGUGACCAUUAGGCUGCCUCCAGUACAUAUCAACUGGGAUCGACCCAUGAUAGGCUUAUGCCCCUGUGAUACCACCCAUAAACACAUAAAUAGGGAUCGACCCAUGAUAGGCUUAUGCCCCUGGGAUACCACCCGAUAAGAGAGAACUUCCAUCACUUAGUUCAAUUAAUCUUUGAGAUUGUUAUUUCGGUCACCACCAUAUUUUUGAUACUUUGAAACAAUGAUACAUCAAUAGGAACCAAGUAAUAGACCUUCUAUACAAUAACGAUGUAAUAAAGACUCAUUGGUACAUCAACAAUGUGUUUCAGAAUCAUCAAUAUCACAACAAUGAAAUAAGAGCCUUUUGGUAUAUCAAUGAAACAUUUUGACACUUUAUAGAAUGGAAACAACUUCGUUGGUAACGUAGAACAAUACAUGUUUUUGGACAACCUCGGAAUCUUACUUGAUGGAACAUUGGUGUUUUCAUGCCAAAGAACAUUGUUAGAGUAUGCUUUACAUACCUCGUUGUAGAUUCAGAUACCAAUUCAACACAACUUCCCGCCUUUACAAAUCACUUAUCUACAAUGAAAUGUUUGGCAUCUAGUAUUAGCAACCCAACACCACAAUUCUCUUCCAUAAUUCCAUACUACCAAUAUUUGCAAAACAUUCCAAAAACCAACUUGAACAAUAGGUUUAUGUGUGUAUAUAUAUAUAAUCAUCAUUUCAAUACCACAUCAUCAAUACCACAUCAUCACCCCAAAUUCCUUCACAAUUUAACAUAAUCCAACCAUGCACAAGAAUAAUCCAACAUCAUUUCCAAUCAUCUUUCAACAACAAUCAAAUAACAUACUUCUUAUGCUCACAUGCAUAUAUAUAUAUAUAUACAUAUCCAUAUAAAUAACACCAACAUAAUUUACAUCCUUACCAAAAAAAUGGCCCUUUUGAUUUCGAAGUCCUGUUGGCACAAAUAAGGGGUGCUUCUCGAAGCCCUUGAGACGGUGAACACAACUACGGAAUCAAUUUGGAUUUUCUACGGUUGAAUCACAAGAUAAUUGGAGUUGAAAUUUGGCUAGGGUUUCUUAGUUUUCAAUAAUGGAUGAUAAAUAAUGGAUAUGAGGCUAAGUAUAUGGAGAUGACAAACGCAGUUAUCGAAUUACUUUGGAAUUUCUACGGUUGAAUCAAAAGUAAUUUAAAGGUCAAAUUUGGUUAGGACUUGUUCUUUCUCAAUGAUUGAUAAUGAAAAUGAGUUUUUGAACUCAUAUACAUGUAUAUAUACACAUAUUACCGUCCAUAAUAUAGUAAGAAAUGACCAAAAUGCCUUUAAGAUUUAAAUAAUGUCAAAUCUGUCAUUUGGUGGACUAUUUUGUUAAGCUAAAGUAGAUCGACCAUAACUGUUUGCUCCGAUAUCGGAUUUGGGUGAAAUUGGUAUCGUUGGAAGGAUAAUUCAAAGGGCUUUCAUUUCAUAUAAAGUAGGCCACCCAGUUCAUCCUGUACAAGGAGUUAUGGUUGUUUGAAGUUGACCCUAAGAAUUUGUUUUGAUAGGCUGAAGUAAAACGAGUAUAACUCCUUACUCAGACAUUGGAUUUAGAUGAAACCAAUUUCAUUGGAAAGAAUACUCAAAGAUAUUUCUUUUCAUAGGUCGCAGCUCUCCCAAUUCAUUAUAUUAAGGGAGUUAUAAUUGUUUGAAUUUGACCCAAAAAUUCGACUGGCCUCAGUAGUUUGUGUGCAGGAAAUUUUUCUGCACAUUUGCUAUUCCCAAAUAUCCCGGCCACCGUUUUGUAGUUUCGAACAUGCUCGAUUAUAUACGAAGCCUAUCCAUUUUUGGAAAUCUUUAUAUCAUUGGAAAGCUUAUUCAAUAACCUUUUCAUGGAACCAUCGACGGGCAAAUUUUGAUAAAAAUAAAAUAAAAAAAUUAAUUCCAUAUAAAUAAGACCAAUACACGUACUUGAAUACGCCAAUACACGUACUUGAAUACGGGGUGUUACACCCUCUUUUUCUGAUCCUCGACCUGCUGCAUGUGAAUAGACAAUCUAGAGAAGUCCAUGUCCAUGUUCAACAUCGCCUCCUUGCAUUCUAAAACCAAGUCAUCUGAAAGGCCGGAUGCAAACUUCCUCAUACGGGCCCUCAUAUUUUUUGCCAAUCCCGGAGCAUAAUGGGAUAGUUGGUUAAAUUUCAAGGUGUACUCCUUGACGCUUAUCUUCCCCUGCUUUAAGUUCAUAAACUCUUCAGCCUUGGACUCCCUCAACUCCUGAGGAAAUAAUAGAUCCAGGAAGGCUUUCACAAAAUCUCUCUACGUAGAAGGCUCAGCAUUCUCACCCCUUGAAUGUUCCCACUCAUUGUACCACUAAUUUUCUACCUCCUUCAAUUGGUAAGCUGCUAAUUCAACCCCUUCUACUUCAUCCAUAUGCAUCACUCAAAAGAUUUUCUCUAUCUCAUCCAUAAACUCUUGUGGAUCCUCCUCCACCUUUGUACCAGUGAACUUAGGAGGGUUUAUCCUUAUAAACUAACCCACUCGUGAAGCUUUAGAUGUGACAGACGCAGACCCAAUAUCCUCCGACUAUCAAGCCUAUGAAGCCACCAACUGUGCAAUCAUAUGCAUCGACUUUCUGAAGUUAACAUUUGAUAUCUCUCUCUAUGGAAGUUGGGUGCGGUUAGUCCUAGAAUGGGGAGACCUAGGUGCUUUGGGUGGACUGGUCUGAACAGGAGGGACUCUUAGAGCAGCGACAAAAUCAGGAGUGUGGGCCCUAUUACGUGUCGUUAUCCCAUGGAUGGGACGGACAUCUUCAGUCUGGGCAUUCUGAUCAUUGGAGCGACGUGGAGGCAUGAUUGAUUUUCUGAAAUACAAGAGACAUUGAUUAGGUGACAUUUCAGACUCCACAGCAUGAAUUAAAUCACAAGGAAGGGAAACAUUCCUAAACAUCUAGUAGCCUCCUGCCUAUAAGUAUAGCGCGCUACACACCCAUAAACAAGACUCUAUCCGACGCAAUUUUCGCAGACACCCUGGGACCAUGAACUUGGCUCUUUGAUACCAAGUUUGUCAUGACCCAAACAAGGCCCUGGGCGUAACGAGCAUCCCGAGCUGUGAAGGCCCGAGCACCCCUAUGUUAACAGGAAAUCAUACACACAUUCAUACAAUCAUAAAGAGAAUGCGGAAAUGGAUUCAUACGGAAACAUGGUCAAUAACUUCAUACAACUGAAAAUUCAAAAAAUUCAAUAAAACCUUCAACAUCAUCUAACAUUUGUCUGCGAAAUCUCUAGUACAUCAAAACCAGUUAUCAUAACUAAAACUGGGAAAAAAAGAAAUAGGCCUUUCGAAAUAACGAAGGCUCACCAACUGCAGACACACUUCACUUCUGGCUGAAAACUCUAUGGCUUUGCAGGACCUCUAGACUGAGUUUCAGACCCUGGAAUAUAGGGGGUCAAUACAAUUAUAUUGGUACGCAGAGUGAUCCAAAAAUAAAAUAUAAUGUGCUAUUAUAAAAUACUUUAAUGCAAAAUCAUUUGAAAAUAUAUGGGCAUAGUAUAAUGGUUUUUCAACAAUAAUGCAGCACUAUUGAGUUAGAUGGUACGCCCUAUAAUUUCAUAUUUUCACCAACUGCCAAGUCUCGAUUGCCACUAAGAUUGGAGUAUUAGUGAGGGAAGGACACACAAGAUCACACAGCAGGGUGCCACAACCCCAAUCAAGUCAAUAUGUCGUGGUUUGGCUCAAGAUCACAAAGCAGGGCUCCUAACCAUUGUUCCCUAUUUGGGAUGACAUAGUACUAGGUAUACAAGAUCACAUAGCAGGGUACCAAGUUCCCGUGUUGGUAAUUCACGAUUUCCAGCAUAGAGUCAUCUGACUCAUGCUUUCUUUGGGUAACCAUCUAACUCAUAUCAAUUUAAGCUUUAAGUUUGAUAUAAGACAAAACAUGUAUCAUACUCACAACAUUCUCUUUCUCUUUUCAUUUAAGGCAAUUUCUCCAUACGUUUUAUGCUAGUCAUUAUAUGAACACCAACAAGACUCCCAUACACCAAACAUAUGCAUAUCGAUUCCCCAACAUAAAGUAGUCAAGAAACUCCAACAUUUACCAAGCAGUACAACAUUAUCCAAGCAUACUUUUUCAUGAUAAAAAGGGGUUUUAAAACUCACGCUCUCAAUACUUUAACAAUGGCAUUAUGUGGGGUUCAUAAACAUCAUCAUGGGGAAUAAAGGAUUCACAACUCAUGUUCAUAACACCUUGUAAAAUUCAAGUCACAUGUCCACAAAUUAAACAAUUGAGAUAUAUAAGCAAACAGCUCCAUGAUUUUUCAAUAUUCUUCUCAAAACCAUAUCACAAUGCAUGCUUUUUUUGUUAAAACGAAACCCCGCUUAUAAUGGCAUACACACUUACAUAAUUAUUAAAAAAUCUUGUUUAAAUUACUAUCAAAAUCAUGUCCAUGAGAUUUAGGACAACCCCACAUACCUUAGAUUAAUUAGUUUAGAGAGAAAAACUCGAAUCUUGAUUCGUUCCUUGAAAAUCUUGAACUUAGAGGUUGGUUCUUGAUUCCUUGUUCUUGGAAAAAACCCUAAUUUUGAUAUUAUGGAUGAAUGAGGUGUUAUGUCCUUUGAUUUGAUGUAAUUAGGUUUUAAAAAAGUGGAAAAGACCCCAAAAUCCCUUUAAAAACGGCUUUAGAUCGCUAAACAGAGGUUCGGGACAGUUUGGGUGACGAACCGUCACCCCAAGGACGGACCGUCCCUCAAACCAUCGCUUUUUGGCCAGAAAAUAGACUUAUUGCCUCAGUUACGACAAUUUAGGAGACUUUCCAUCACUGGCAUGAUGGUCUGUCGGCCUUCCCGUCGCACUUUGGCAGUUCGAAUAUCUCACUGUAAAAUGGUCAUAACUUUUUACCCUGAUAUUAGAUUUAGGCAAAAUUGGUGGAGUUGGAAAGAGGACUAAAAGACCUUUUAUUUUAUAUAUAGUAGGCCCUCUAAUUCGAUAUAUAUAGAAAUUUAUAGUCGAUUGAAUUUGACCCAAGUUUAAACGCUCACCAAAAUUCAAUUGAUAGGAAGACUUUCAACUUGUCCUUGAGCUAAGGGACCUCUAUGAUCUUAACUCAUGAUCAACUAAUUCCCACACUAUAUAGUUGAUUAACACACUACAUUCACAUUGGAUUUAUGGCUUUUGGAUUAGUUACACGUAGAAAUAACGGUUUACGUUCUAGCCCGAAAUGCGGGGUGUUACAGAAAUUCACUGCAAAAUUCAGGUAAUCCCUUCUUGUAAAGAAUGGUUAUUUUCAGCCAUUUAUGCAAAUAAUAUUAGCUUUGAUAGGAUUCAAUUAUGGAAUAAUUUUCAAAGAAUAACAGACACUACCAACAAUGGUCCUUAGAUUAUAGCGGGUGACUUUAAUGAAGUUCUCUUUAGCUCCCAAAAAUUUGGAGGGGUUAGCCUGAACAUGGGAAGGACUAAUAGAUUCCUUAACUGUCUAAAUUACUGUAAUAUGGUUGACUUAGGCUAUACUGGAAGUAAAUAUACUUGGAUGAAUAAACGUAAAGGAGGCAAUACCAUUCUGGAAUGUUUAGAUAGAAUUGUUUGUAAUUAUGAAUAGUUGAACAUCUUCCCUGAAUCAACUGUUGUUCUCCUUCCUAGGGUUCAGUUAGACCGUAGUACUCUCUUACUAAAACUGAAUUCAGAAAGACAUAUCCCUUACAAACUUUUUUGACUAAAAACUAUUUGGUUGUCCCAUCCGCAUUUUCCAAAUAUUGUGUCAAUAGCUUGGGAAUCUUCAAAUAAUGUUUUGCUCCCUGCUUCUAAGCUUUUUACUAGAAAUGUCAUGCUUUAGAAUAAACAUGUAUUUGGAAAUAUCUUUGCCAAGAAAAAAAGAAUCCUUGCCCGCUUACAAGGCCUUCAGAACUUUUCUCAUUAUCCAACUAGUACCUUCUUUCAAAAUCUUGAAGAAUCCCUUCAGGAUGAGUAUCAAAGUCUCCUUAUAGUGGAGGAGGAAUUCAGGAGGCUUAAUUCUAGGAUUCUCUGGAUGAAUAAUGGAGACACUAAUAAAAAAUUCUUCCAUAUGUUGACUCUUCAAAGAAGGAGAAGGAAUUGUAUCACUAGUUUGAAGGGUAGUGUGGGUAACUGGUUAAACAAGGGCCACCUCAUUAGUAACCAUAUCGCAGAUUUUUAUACCUCCAUAUACUCUUAUGACUUGAACACAUCUACAUGGUCACAUGAUCUAGCCAACUCUUGCUUCGUUCCUGCGAAUAUGGCUUCGACCUUGUCGGCUCCCUUUCUCCGUAAAGAAGUGAUUGAGGCUAUCUACUUUUUUAAGCCGUAUAAGGUGCCUGUACCUGAUGGCCUACAUCCUUUUUUCUACCAACAAUAUUUCCAUUUAGUAGGUGACUCUGUUGUCAACUUUUGCUGUCAGGUUUUCCUUAAUCACUGCAUCCCUGAGAAAAUCAAUAUGACCUAUUUAUGUUUGAUUCCUAAAGUACCGGGGGCUUCCUCUAUCUCCCAAUCCGGACCAAUUAGUCUCUGCAAUACUAUCUGUUAAAAUAGUUACUAAAAUUAUUGUUAAUAGAAUCAAGCCUUUGCUGCCACAAAUAAUAGGUCCGACUCAGGCCAGCUUCCUAACUAAUAGAUGCGCGGCGGAUAAUGCAAUAGUAGUUCAAGAAAUCCUCCACCUUUUUAAGCAUACAAAGGCCAGGGACUCUCAUGCUCUUAUAAAAAUAUACUUGGAAAAAACUUUUGACAGAUUAGAAUGGUCCUUUAUAGGAGAAACUCUUCUCUAUUUUAGAUUUUCACGUGAUUUGGUUAACCUAAUCAUGUCGUGUGUUACCACAUCUACUAUUUCUAUUCUCUUUAAUGGGAAUGCUAUGCCUAGUUUCUACCUGACAAGAGGAAUACGUCAAGGCUAUCCUUUAUCGCCAUAUAUUUUUAUUCUAUGUAUCAAAAGAUUGUCGAGAGCAAUAGAUGAAGAGGUGCAACUUGGUCGGUGGAUACCUAUAAAAAUAUCAUCGAAAGGGCCACCAAUCUCCCAUCUCUUUUUUCGGAUGACACUAUCUUGUGCAUUAAAAUUUAAAAUCAAUCUUGCCAAGAUAUUAUGCAAACCUUUGCCAUCUUCAGUGCCCUUCCGGGUCAGAAAAUUAGUACUGCUAAAUCUAGGUUUUUCUUCUCGAAAAACACGCCGGCAAGAAUAACGUGAAACGUUUGCUCACUAGUGGGAAUUGAAGAGGGAUCACACUUUAGUAGAUACUUAGGUUUUCCACUUACAAAUUCCAGGCCUUCUAGGAGUGAUUAUCAACUCCUAAUAGAUAAUUUCAAAUGCCGAUUGUCGGGCUAGAAGAGUAAAUUCCUUUCUCCUGUGGGUCGAGUGACUCUAAUCAAUUCAGUGUUGAGUACUCUUCCUAACCAUGUCAUGCAAAUUACUAAGUUACCUUAUCAAGUGAUUAAGGGUAUGGAAAAGUGUGAAAAAAAAUUUCUUUGGGGUUCUUCUGAAUUCGCAAGAAAAUUAGUCUUGUCAAAUAGUCCAACGAAGACUAAGAAAGAGAGAGGUUUAGGUAUACAAUGUCUAAUGACUACAAACUAUUCUCUCCUAGCCUCGACUGUAUGGAUAUUAUUUCAUUCUCAGGAUUCCUUUUGGGUUGUGCUUCUAAGGAAUAAAUAUCUCAAUCGAUCAACUAAUUUAUCCUCGACCUGGAAAAACCUUAUGGUGGGAUGGAAGAACUAUCAAAAAGGCAUAAUAUGGCAACCGGCUAAUGGAAGGCAUAUUAACUUUUAGACCUACCAAUGGAUAAAACUUGGAACCACUUUAAGAUCCAUAAUUUUUGGCCCCUUAACGAAGUCCGAGGAUUGCAAGUGUAUCACUGACUAUAGAAACGGUAACACUUGGAACUUGUUAACCAUCUCAUUUGUCCUCCCUCGGAAAGUGACUAGUCAAAUAUUUCUCAUCCAUUUCCCCACCUUUGAAAAUUCUUACGAUCGUAUUAAAUGAGGACUUACACCCACGAGAAGGUUUACUGUCCAAUCUAGCUAUAGCCAAAUCAAAUCCAAUGAUAAUAAUCCUACUCUCCGAAUUGAUAGUUGCUGGUUAUGGAACCUGACUAUUGUCCCUAAGAUUAAAUAUUUCCUGUGGUUGUUAAGGCUGAAUAGGUUUCCUACUUCUGCUUACUUGCACCAUAUUUCAUGCCUGGAAUCUCCUUUCUGUAGACUUAGUCAGGGAGGAGUGCCCGAGACUUCAUACCACUUGUUCUUUUCAUGCUCAGGACUGGGCUAUUUCUGGGAAAGCUUAGUAUUGGGACCUUCCCUUUCAUUGCCCCUGCAAAACUCCUACGCUACCUCUAUUUUUAUCUAUUGGCUUAAAGAUAACGUUAACAGAUAUGCUUCCACUUCUCCCCAACUACCGCUGGGAGUCCUACUCCCUUACUACUUGUGGGUUAUUUGGACCCAACAUAAUAAGCGUCUUUUUGAUGGACAUGGGACUGAACCAUCACUAGUCUUGGCCAUUCAUUUAGCUGCGGAAUAUUGGUAUUUGGCAAGUAAUUUACACACUACUAGUAUUCCUAUCACUGUUUAUGUCAAAUGGAACCCUCCUAAAAUUAACAAUCUCAUGUUGAAUACUGAUGCUGCUAUAUAUUCUGAGCAUAGCAUUGGCGGAUUAGGGGGGUUUUGUAACUUUAGGGGCGAAUGGGUUAUGGGUUUUACUGCUUUUACAACUAUUCAGGACAUAACUCAUCUUGAACUUUUAGCAUUUUUUGCAGGAUUGCAGCUAGCUGUUAAACAUAAUUUCAAAUAUCUCGAAAUAAAUGUGGAUGCUAAGCAAGUCACAACCAUGUUAACAAGUGCUAAUUAUUUUACUGACAGUUUUUUGCCUCUGGAUGAUUGCAGGUACCUGCUCCUAUAGAUGGGUAAUCCGGUGGUGAGCUCGGUCUACAGGGAGCAAAACAGGCUAGUUGAUGGCCUAGCAAAAAAAGUCGUCUCUACUGCACUACCAUCCAAUUUAUGUAAUAGUACUUUGGUUAUGGAUACUAUAUCCAUUUUUUGGUCACCUCCUCAAGACUUGAUGAAGUUUUCUCAGGCUAAUAUGCGAGGAGAUUUUGCUAUUAGGUGAGUUAAAUCUGCAGCAGUUUUGCCGCCUAGUGUCUUUGUUAAUAGUCCUACUAGUAGUAUUGUAGUCCUUCAUGGAUGGUCUGUAAAUAUUGCUCUACGUGCAGAUACUACAGUGGCUAUGCUACUAACUUCCUCCCUAUAGUUUUUGUUAUGAAGCUAAUAUAAUAUAAGUAUCCUAAUUACCAAAAAAAAAUUAACGUUGAAUAAAGACACACCAAUCAAAUUUUCUAUGCAUAGGAAAAGUUUGAAAAAGUAGUCACUUUUUAAUUGAUAAUUAAGUUAGUUAGCUUUUCAAGUUAUUCCAUGUUUAGAUAUUUUUAAUACCAAAAUAAUCUUUUACAAAAAUCACCCUUCGCUCAACACAGGACAGUUUGAUAAUUUUUAAUCAUUUUGUUUUGUGCAUUGUCAGUAUAGAAUAUUACAUGAUAGUAUAAAAUAUUUUAUACAUUAAUGGUGCACAAAACUUAAAAUAAUUUUUAGGGCAAAAUGGUUCAGUGGACCCUUGUACUAUGUCGGUUUUGUACGUUGGAUAGUUCUACUUACAUGUUUGUCAUCUGGACCCCUUAAUCCACUAAAAAGCAACAUUUUAUAUCCUUUGACUGUUGACUUUGCCUAUGUAGCAUUGAAAUAACUGACUAGGAUAAAGAGUGUAGUCACUCGCCUGAGGUGUGAGUGAGGAUCAAUUUUUGUCUAUUCUAUAUUAAAAUAAUUUAAAAAAAUUAAAAAUAAUAUUAAAAUUUAAAAAAAUUAAAAAACAACUUUUUCCCUCCAUCUUUUUUACAUUAAAAAUAUNNNNNNNNNNNNNNNNNNNNNNNNNNNNNNNNNNNNNNNNNNNNNNNNNNNNNNNNNNNNNNNNNNNNNNNNNNNNNNNNNNNNNNNNNNNNNNNNNNNNNNNNNNNNNNNNNNNNNNNNNNNNNNNNNNNNNNNNNNNNNNNNNNNNNNNNNNNACCUCCGUCCAGCCCUCCUCCCCCGUCCAACCAUGGCUAUCACCCCCGUCUAGCCAUGGCUACCAUUAAAAUUAACGCCACUCACACCCCCCAUUCAGCCAUGACUACCAUUAAAAUUAACGCCCCGCCCCUACCGUCCACCACCGUCUCCUACCUCGCCACCCUUUCCACUAGCUUCCCCAUCCCUACGCCGUCCACCAUCGUCAAUUCGUCCCCCCACGCCGUCCACCUACAUUAGCAAAAACAAUAAUUUCUCCACCAAUUUCUCCAUUCACCGGCCACCACCACCAUGAACACCCUAAACCCACCAGCACCACUGCAGUGCCCUCCCCCCUUCAUUAACGUCGGCCAUCACCGUUAUAACACUUCAAUCCAACAACACCACAACUAGAAUUUCCACUUCAUUGAACCAUCAAUCUCUGGCUCACAACAUCAAUUGGUGUGGAGCAAUAGCAGAAAAAAAAACUUAGAUUUCAACACUACAAGUGCAGCUCCUAAGAAAAGAAACUUUGAUUUGUCAAGCAUCUCCCAAUAUAUAUCUGCUGGAAGAUUAAUUUGUGAAGAUCAAUCAUCUUCCUCCAUACUCACACUACUCAUUUUUUACCACUUCCCCAAUUCCUUAAAAUUUUCAAAAUCAAUCAAAAAUUACUUUUUGGGUCUUUAUCUUAAACCAACAAACCCAAUUUCUACAAGAAAGAAAAUACAAACAAAUCCUCCAUGAUCCAAUAAUUAAGAAAAGAUAAAAAAAGAACAGAAAAACACAAAUAAUUCGCUCUACAGUUGCUCAAAUUUAAAGAUUUCUUUUUGACAAUUUGGUUGAAGCAUUGUUCACGCCGCCAUAGUCAUUUCUUGCAAAGCCAACACAUAAUUUCUAUAAAAAAAAAAAGGAGAAGAUGAUGGAGAAGAAUGUAAAAGAAGAGGAAGAAAUGGAGAAUGAAGAACAGCAAAGAGAAAGAAAUGGGGGAAGAGAGAGGAAGAAAAGGAGUGGGGGGUUUCUUUUAUUUAUUUAUUUAUUCUUUUUAUUUAUUUAUUUUAAAAUUAGUUGGAGAAUAAUUUUAAUUAUUUGAAAUGAAUUUAAUAUUUAAUUUGUGAGCAAAAAUAAAUCAAAUGACAUUUUAUAAUUUAAUUAUUUGGAUAUUUAAUUUUAAAAAAUAAUUAUUUAAAUUUUUCUAUAAUUUAUAAUUUUUUUAUUUAAUUAAAUUAAUUUUAAUAUUUAAUUUGUCAUGUAACAUUUUAAAAAUGACUUGAAAUUUUAUGAAAUACUUGAAAAUGAUGUGGCAGAUAACGUGGCACACGUGGCACUUAUGUGGCAGCUGACGUGGGCGAGUGUGUUGCACUCUCCAAAAAUGUGUUUAAAAUUCUAUUUUUUAGUGGGUUUAGGGGUCCAGAUGACAAACAUGUAAGUUGAAGUUUCCAACUUAUAAAACCGACCUAGCACAGGGGUCCACUAAUCCAUUUUGCCAAUUUUUAAUGAAGUUUGAACAUAUUUCAGUUCAAACUUCGUGAAUCGUUCUGAGAUCUUGAACUAAUAAAGAUUGAACUCCACGGACCAUUCAUAUAAUUUUAAAAUCCAACAGAAUUUCAUACUCAGAUCUUGAUUUGUGAAAGCUUGAGUUUAUACUUUAUAGGAUCACACUCUCUUCUUUUGAUUUUAUUGGAAACAAAUGUCAAGUUGUUGAAAUUAUUGAUAUUCAAGAUAUUCCUAUUUACAUGAAGACUUUUCAAUUAGAAAUUGUCUAUUAAUAAUACAUGAUAAUUUAUUAUUGUUAACUUAAAAACAUACCAAGACUUUAAAAAACAUAACUUAAAUAACAAAUAGGUUUUAUCUAUAAUCGUAGAUACUAUCAAUACUUAAUUGAUAAUAAAACUCUAUACCUAAACAUGUUUUCUUCCUACAAGCGAUAGUUUUUGGAGAAUAAUCUAAACCUAAAUAAAGAGAGACAAUUAAUAUAAAUAUUAUUAAUUAAUUGAUUGAGGAAUCUUAGUUUUAAAUAGAUUAUAAAUCUAAGUAAAAUGAGAAAAUGGCCAAAAGAGUCCCCAACCUUUGCCCCAAAUGUAGAAAAUGGCCAAAAAAGUCGGCAAAGAGAGUAUAUCUCACUCUCUCUGAGCGAGUGAAUAGUCCGAAAAUCUUAAAAAAAGUAUUUUUUACAUUUCUUUUUAAUAUAAAAGUACAUAUAAUAUAUAUAUAUAUGUAUAUAUUAUUUUUAUUUUAUUUUAUUUUCUUUCUUAUUCAACACCAUCCCAAAAUACUCUCUCUCAUAAAAAGCUUCAACGACUCUUCAAUGACUAUCAUGGCCAAUUUCUUUAUCUUUCUCAUCUCUCUUUAUAUCGAAAUCUAAAUCACAUUUUCAAUACUUCUAUCAAUUUCAUUUUGUAACAGCAAUAUCAUCCCCAUUGUUUCCUCAGCUGCUGUAGUUGCUGUCAUUCUCUCCUGUUCAAGUUCCAAACAAGCAGCAUUUGCUCUUCGUCUUUACAUCUUUACCAUUUUUCUCAGUGACAAAACAUCAAACACUUUGUCUUCAUCAUUACACUCUUCUUCAAACUCUUCCUUCUUAUCAUCCAAUUUCAAUAAACCACCAUUUUUUUCCUCUUCGAAGUUCGAAUUCAUCAACAGCCUAGUCUUUUAAGACUUCAUCUUUUCACUAUAUUUUCCAUCAAAAUCAUUUUUGGAACAACAACUAUUUCUAUUCAUGUAACACUCUGUAAAAUUUUCGAGUUCUUAGAGCUUCUAAAGCAGGCCAAGAAAGUCUUAACACUUAGAAAAUUUAGCUCAGUGUUGAAAUUUUUUGAUUCCAUAAGCCUUUAAAACUUUGACGAAUUAUUUCAUGAACUUCCCGCCUUCAAUUCUUGAUUUUCUUGUUGCGUUGCGAUAUGGCAAGUCAAGAGUACAUUCCGGGUGAGAUUUAAAAAUUUUAGACGAGCCUAAGGUCGUGUUUGAGUUGGCAAAAUAGUAGUUAAAGGCUACAGAAGGGCGCCUCCUAGCUUAGAGCCUUGGCCUCUUCCCUUAGUAGCAAGGCGCCGCCCAGCCUACAAAAGGCUCUGGGAAAGGUGCCGCCUUUCCAUAGCCCUUAUGGCCAGUUUUUCAGCAUUUCACUUCCGUAUUUCCAAGGGUAAUUUGGUCAAAUUCCAUCCUUAUAUAAGCUUCCUUCACACAAGAUUCAUCAUAUUUUUACCCAAAAUAUAAGAUUUUCACUCAAUUUUCCUCAAGAAAAAAAAUAAGGGUUUCUAUUGAAGGUUCAAAAUCAAGAAAAUUCCUCCGUUAAUUUUUCAAGAAUCAUAUAUCAAGGUAUGUUGGAUGUUGAUUCUUGGAUUCCUUCCACCCAAGAAGUCCAAGAAUCCCUUUUUUAGAUUUAAGAUUUUAUGUUUAUGAGUUUUUCAUGAUUUAUGUGGCUUGAAGUUGAAGCCCACGUUAAUAUUAAGUUUUAAUUCAUGUUGUGAUCAUAAAGAUGCAAGUAUUGACCUUAGUAUGUGUUGGUUAUGUGAUGUUUAUGAUAAAUUCCCUUCAAGAAACAUGUUGAAUUAUGUAAUUAUGUUAAUUUGGUGUAUUGAAUGUUGUAUGGCCGAUGGGUGUCUCCCACAUGUUUGAUAAAUUGCUUAUGUGAAGAAAAUAGUGUCAUUGCAACAUGAAGUAUGUUAUUCCCAAGCAUAUGUCAACUAGUGCAUGCUAAGUGUUUGUUAAAAGGCCUAAAUGAAUGAAUUAUGAUAUGUUGCAUGUAUUCCUAUUCAUGUGAAUUCCUUGUUGGAUGAGUUAUGAGACAAUAGCAUGCUUCUCUUUACAAUUACAUGUUAAGAUUCCCAAGUGCUCGAAAUGAUGCUUCAUCGGUUAUGUUUCAAAUGAUAGUCUAUUGUCAUGGUUGUUAAGAAAGAGUUGUCAUGUCUUAUUUAUUUAUGCUAUCUAGUUAUGGGGGUAUUUAAUACCCAAAAACAUAGCUGCUUGUCUAGAGUCGAGUCAGUCUCAAGAUAAUUUCAGUCAUGAUAUGAUCAGUAUAUCUCAGUUAGUGACAAAAGUUAAGAAAACUCAGCAAUCUUAGUAUUCAGUCUAAUCAAGUUCAGUAUUCCAUUCAGACCUUAGUAGUAUUUCGUCAGUCAACGGAACCAAGUGAACUCAGUCAGAUCAGUCAAGUAAGAUAAUCAGUAACAGAUUCAGCUCUGUCUAGUACGAUCUAAGAAUCAGUUCAGUGUAUAUUCAGUUGGGAGUAGGAUUCAACACCGAGCGAGGGCAGGGAUGACGACGUCCCCAUUAUUUUAGGAGAGUCAUUAAUAACAAUCCCUGCACUCCAGAACUGCGUAGCCAGCGCAGGAUGAAAAGUCACCUGUCAUAUUAGGCUUGACUACCUCCCUAGAGUCACCCAUUAUAUUAGGCUUGGCUCCAACCAGGUGUCACCCGUUAUAUUAGGUUUGGCAUCCUGGGUUCAGAUAGAAGUGUCUUUACCCGUGGAACGAUAUUGGCACCCUUCCAACUGGGGUUACAGGUUGGAACCCAACUAGAUAGAAGAGGCAUGUCGGUUAGAUGACUACCUCCCAUAAUUUUGAUUUCAGCUUCAGUCUCAGUAAUAAAACUUAGUUGAGGAGUCACUCGUUAUACUAGGCUUCACUACCUAUCAGAGGUCACCCGUUAUAUAGGCUUGAUCUCAAAUUUAGAUAAUCAUUAGCAUUAUCAUUAAACUUAGAUAUCACCCAUUAUUUAGGCUUGAUCUCAUAUUUGGUUAAUCAAGUAUCAGGCAUUAUCAUCAGUAGAUUCAGAGAUCACCCGUUAUUUAGGCUUGAACUCAUUUUCAGUUAACCAAGUAUCAAACACUAUCAGUAGUAAACUCAGAGGUCACCCAUUAUAUAGGCUUGAUCUCAGUUAUGGUAACUCAGUAUCAGUAUCAGUAAACUUAGACAUCAAUCUCAGUGGACUUAGUUACUCAGUAUCCCUAAGUUAGUGAACUCAGAUAUCAAUUCUACUAGACUCAGUCAUCAGUAAGUCAGUAUUCAUAAACCCAUAUUUCAGAAUCUAGCAUUAGUAUUAUUGCGAUCUCAGUUUUUAGUUUUUUUAUUCAUGCAUACAUCCUCAUUUGGUAUUCUCAUGUUAUUCAGUUAAGUAACGUUCAUGCAUAAGCCCUUGCAUUUAGCCUUACCUCAUCUAGCAUACUAGUAUAUUCAAAGUACUGACACAUACUUUUCUCUUGUGCUAUGGUGUCUUAUACCAUAGGUUCAGAAGUGCGAGACCCUGAGCACCCAUAGCAGUCCAAACUUAGUCAGCAGCAAUAGACGUAGUAGUGAGUCCUCUUCAUUCGGGGAUGCCUCCUAUUUCAGUUAUAUAUUAGAUUCAAUUUAUUUUCAGUAGACGGAGUUAGUUGGGGACAUGUCCAAUCAACUCCACAGAUCAGAUAGUUAGAGGAUUUUCAAAUAGAUGUAUCAGUAUUCAGUUCUCAGUUGUGUAUUUUAGAUGUUUUGAACCUUAUGGUAAAUUUUUGCCAGUUUUCUAUAUUUGUUAUAUUAUAUUAUGCAGUGCUCAGAUACAGAUAUCAGUAGAGGGUGAGUUUGUGGUCCAUCGGGAUCAUGAGCACCGUGUGGUUUUCCGAUUCCAAAAAAUUAAGGCAUUAAAAACUUGGUAUCAGAGCCUAAAGUUUAAUAGUAUCCUAGGAUUUUGAAAAGUCGCAUCUAGUAGAGUCUUGUGCAUGGGUGUGUUGCGCGCCAUAUUUAUGUACAGGAGGCUAUAAGAUGUUUUAGGAAUAGUUUCCCUCCUUUCAGUAUUCAUGUCGUGCGAGUAAGUAUAAGUUCCAGAUAAUUCUUAGCCUAAUCCAUUCCUCCCUUCAUUUACAGAAUAUGUCUUCCAGAGAAGAUAGUGAAAGAAGUAAUGAAAAUCAGCUAGCCCCCCCAGCCCAUUCAGGCAAAUCCCUCGAAUAGGCAUGUCUCUCAUGCAGAGUUCAGAGUUGCUGUCACCACCUUAGCUUAUGCAGUAGUUGCUUAGAACAAUUUGCAGAAUGCUGUCCUAUCUAGACUUUUGACUUGCACUCAGCAGAAUGAAGGAAUAGAGUGUAGGAUGAAUCAGAGGGCUAGAACAACUACCUCUGCACCAAGAUCAAGGGGUAGUAACCGCUUUCAGUCCUGUCAGAGAUUCUUAGCACCAGUUCCACUGUCAGUCCAGACACUAGUGUCUAAGUGUAAGAAUGUCAGUCGAGAUGGAGCACCAAGCUAUAAGCCACUAGGUCGUGGGAAGAGUGUUCUCACCUAUCCGCUUGGCAAAGAAUGUGGUAAGAACUAUAAGAGGGUGUGUAGAAUGGACAACGAUUUAUGCUUCGGAUGAGGUAAACCAGGCCACAAACUAUGGGAGUGUAGAAUAACAGCUCAAAGGGGUAAAUAUUUGCACCAGCAGGGCACCACCUCCAGUAGGCAGUGCCCAAUCAGGCUUUCUGCACCUCUGACUCACCAUGAUCAGGAAAUUUCUUCAAAUAUAGUUACGGGUACGUAUGAGUUUCUCAUCUUUAUGUUUAUGCUCAGUUAGAUUCCAAGGUUUCUCUUAGUUUCUUGUUAAGAAAAGAUUGUAGCAUGCUUGUUUUACACAAGGAUUUAGUCACGAAGAUAGGCUUAAAUGUUAUGUUAAUGUGUAAGUGGAUAGAUAUAUUUCAGAGAUUUGAGUAGGCUUGAACUUAGCAGGAGAAGUUAUUUCAGCUCAGACCUCAAACGGCAGAGGUAUCAGUGCCAAAACUACAGAACUCUAGCCAUGUUAUGGUUUUCUAUUCAGAUGCCAUAUUCAGAUCAUACCAAGGUUCCUUACUCCCUAAGGUCAUUAGAACCUUAUAGAAAGAAUGUCAGAGAAAACUUCAGUUAAGUUUAAGUUUUCAGCAUGAGUUAGUCAGUAAAGCCAGCAAGUCAGUUUAGCAGCUAGACAGUCAGAUUCAUAUAGUUUGUUUUCUCAUCUUUUUAUUUACGCAUGCUAUCAGAAACCUUAGAAAUGUAACUAUCCCACGAUAGAGUAUUCUAAUAGUUGCGAGUAUAACUUAGUUCAUGUGUCAUGCAUUAGAUUCGGAUCCCAAAAGUUUAGUUAUGAACCAGUUCAUAGGUGCCUUGUGCAUCGCCUCAGUUUUCUCAAGUACUUUAGUGAAGUAAUAGUUCUAAGAGGGACAUAGUGUCCCAUGGGGGAGAUACCCUAUGACUCCCCAAAGUUUUCAAGUCCUUAAACCCAUUUAGUUUCACGCUUAGCUUCUCAUUACAAGUUAGCAUCAGUUAUUCUUGCAUAAUCAGUCAAGCAUUCAUAAGUUAGUUCAGUCAAGUAGUCAUGCAUUAGAUAUACAUGUUAAGUAGAAAAAUUCAGAUUUUCAGUGUAUUCAGUCAUGCAUUCAUGAGAAUUCAGCUUAUGAGUAGCCUCAGUCACGAACCCAUGCAUCAGAUAUGCAUGUUUAUUAUGAGAAUUCAACUUGUCAAUAGUUUCAGCCAGGUAUUCUAUGCAUCAGCUAUGCAUAUCCAGUAGAAGAUUCAGUAUAUCAGUAGUUCAGUUGUAUAGAUAUGUUUCAGAUGUUUUCGUUCCCUAAGUGAGUUCAGUCUAUCAGAAAUCUUAGCUUAGUCAGCCACAUUCGAGGACGAAUGUUCCCAAGGGGGAGAUAGUGUAACGCCCCAUAAAAUUUCUGAGUCCUUAGAACUUUUAAAGAACGCCAAGAAAGGAUUAACACUUAGAAAAGUUGGCUAAAUGUUGAAACUUUUUCAUUCUAUAAGCCUUUGAAACUUUGACAAAUUAUUUCGUGACCUUCCCGACCUCCAAUUCUUGAUUUUCUUGUUGCGUUACGAUGGGGCAAGUCAAGAGUACAUCCCAGGUGAGUUUUAAAAUUUUUAGACGAGCCUAAGGUCAUGUUUGGGUUGGCAAAAUAGUAGCUAAAGGCUACAGAGGGGCGCCUCCUAGCUUAGAGCCUUGGCCCGCUCCCUCAGUAGCAAGGCACCGCCCAACCUACAAAAGGCUCUGGGAAAGGCGCCGCCUUUCCAUAGCCCUUGUGCCCAGUUUUUCAGCAUUUCACUUCCGUAUUUCCAAGGUAAAUUUGGUCAAAUCCCACCCCUAUAUAAACUUCCUUAACAUGAGAUUCAUCAUAUUUUCUCCUAAAAUAUAAGGUUUUCUCUCAAUUUUCCUCGAGAACAAGAAUAAGAGUUUCUAUUGAAGGUUCAAAAUCAAGGAAAUUCCUCCAUUAAUUUUUCAAGAAUCAUGUAUCAAGGUAUGUUGGAUGUUUAUUAUUGGGUUCCUUCCACCCAAGAAGUCCAAGAAUCCCUUUUUUAAAUUCAAGAUUUUAUGUUUAUGAGUUUUUCAUGAUUUAUGUGGUUUGAAGUUGAAGCCCAUAUUAAUAUUAAGUUCUAAUUCAUGUUGUGAUCAUAAAGAUGCAAGCAUUGACCUUAGUAUGUGUUGGUUAUGUGAUGUUCAUAAUAAAGUCCCUUCAAGAAACAUGUUGAAUUAUGUAAUUAUGUUAAUUUGGUGUAUUGAAUGUUGUAUGGCCAAAGGGUGCCCCCAUAUGUUUGAUAAAUUGCUUAUGUGAAGAAAAUAGUGUCAUUGCAAUAAGAUGUAUGUUAUUCCCAAGCAUAUGUCAACUAGUGCAUGCUAAGUGUUUGUUAAAAGGCCUAAAUGAAUGAAUUAUGAUAUGUUGCAUGUAUUCCUAUUUAUGUAAAUUCCUUGUUGGAUGAGUUAUGAGACAAUAGCAUGCUUCCCUUUACAAUUACAUGUUUAAGAUUCCCAAGUGCUCGAAAUGAUGCUUCAUUGGUUAUGUUGCGAAUGAUAGUCUAUUGUCAUGGUAGUUACGCAAAAGUUGUCAUGUCUUAUUUAUUUAUGCUAUCGAGUCCUAGGGUAUUUAAUACCCAAAAAUCUAGCUGCUUGUCUAAAUCCGAGUCAGUCUCAAGAUAAUCUCAGUAGUGCUACGAUCAGUAUAUCUCAGUUAGUGACAGAAGUUAAGAAAACUCAGCAAUCUCAGUAAUCGGUCUAAUCAAGUUUAGUAUUCAGUUCAGACCUUCAUAGUAUUCCGUCAAUCAAUGGAACCAAGUAAACUCAGUCAGAUCAGUCAAGUAAGAUAAUCAGUAACAGAUUUAUCUCAGUCUAGUACGAUAUAAGAAUCAGUUUAAUGUUUAUUCAGUUGGGAGUAGGAUUCAGCACCGAACGAGGGCAAGGAUAAUGGCUUCCCCUUUAUUUUAGGCAGAGUCGUUAAUAACAAUCCCUGUACUCUAGAACUGCAUAGCCAACACAGGAUGAGGAGUCAUCCGUCAUAUUAGGCUUGACUACCUCCCUAGAGUCACCCGUUAUAUUAGGAUUGGCUCCAACCAGGUGUCACCCAUUAUAUUAGGUUUGGCAUCCUGGGUUCAGAUAGAAGUGUCUUUACUCAUGGCACGAUAUUAGCACCCUUCCAACUGGGGUUACAAGUUGGACCCCAACUAGAUAGAAGGGGCAUGUCGGUUAGAUGACUACCUCCCACAGUUUCAAUUUCAACUUCAGUCUUAGUAAUAGAACUUAGUUGAGGAGUCACCCGUUAUACUAGGCUUGACUACUACUCAGAGGUCACCCGUUAUAUAGGCUUGAUCCCAAAUUUAGACAAUCAUUAUCAGUAAACUUAGAGAUCACCUGUUAUUUAGGCUUGAUCUCAUAUUCAGUUAAUCAAGUAUCAGACAUUAUCAUCAAUAGAUUCAGAGAUCACCCGUUAUUUAGGCUUGAUCUCAUAUUUAGUUAACCAAGUAUCAAACACUAUCAGUAGUAAACUCAGAGGUCACCGUUAUAUAGGCUUGAUCUCAGAUAUGGUAACUCAGUAUCAGUAUCAGUUAGCUUAGAUAUCAAUCUCAAUAACUCAGUUAUUCAGUUUCCCCAAGUUCGUGAACUCAGAUAUCAAUACUACUAGACUCAGUCAUCAGUAAGUCAGUAUUCAGAAACCUGUAUUUCAGAAUCUAGCAUUAGUAUUAUUGCGAUCUCAGUUUUUAGUUUGUGCAUUCAUGCAUACAUCCUCAUUUGGUAUUCUCAUGUUAUUUAGUUAAGUAAUGUUCAUGCAUAAGUCCUUGCAUUCAGCCUUAUCUCAUCUAGCAUACCAGUACAUUCAAAGUACUGACGCAUACUUUUCUCUUGGGGUUUGGUGUCUUAUACCAUAGGUUCAGAAGUGCGAGACCCAGAGCACCCAUAGCAGUCUAGACUCAGUCAGCAGCAGUAGACGUAGUAGUGAGUCCUCUUCAUUAGAGGAUGCCUCCUACUUUAGUUUUAUAUUAGGUUCAAUUUAUUUUCAGUAGACGAAGUUAUUUGGGGACAUGUCCCAUCAACUCCAUAGAUCAGACAGUUAGAGGCUUUUCAGACAGAUGUAUCAGUAUUCAGUUCUCAGUUGUGUAUUUUAGAUGUUUUGAACCUUAUGAAAAAUUUCCUCCAGUUGUCUGCAUUUGUUAUAUUAUAUUAUACAGUGCUCAGGUACAGAUAUCAGUAGAGGGUUAGCUUGUGGUCCUUCGGGAUCAUGAGCACAGUGUGGCAUUUAGAUUUCAAAAAUUGGGGCAUUACAAUUCCCUUGAUUUCUCACAAAAAUCACAAAUAAAAUGAUUCCAACCCUCAAUAAUAAUUAAUUUUGGAUUCCGUGAAUCCAAUUUUUCUACUAUAUUUUCACUUGUCAUAAUCCUAAUUCACAAAAUUCUUCAACAAGAGUUUGAUGGAUGCCUCAUCGCAAAAUGCUCAACCCGUUUGUGGGGAACAAGUACUUGAACUCCUAAAUUGCACCAUUGAAUCUCCUUAUGAUAAGGACAAAUGUCAACAUUUGCUUGAUUCACUGCACCUAUGUGUUAUAAACAAAAAAGUAAAGAAAUUCUUUCUUGCUGCUGAACCGAGCAUUGAAAAAUCAAAUGGGAGCAAUGAGAAAAGAAAUUAAUCCCUGUGAAGUCCUAAAGAGUGUCUUCUGUGAUGUUAAAUUUGCUCUUGAUUCUUCUAAUUUAGACUACCUUGGGAACCUUGACCUGUUCAGUGGAAUAGAAUUUGCCUUCCUAUUAUAAUGGAAGGUAGAAUUUUCUUUUACCUGUAUAAUAAUUUUCCUAAAUAUCAUCCAUUUUACAAUUUUCUUGAAAAAAGAAUAAUAAUAAUUAAUUUAUUUUUAUAUAAAAAUAUAAUAUUACUUGAAAAUUACGUGGCAUGACAUGACCGAUGAGUGAUGCUCACUUUCCAUUACACAUCUGGGUGUGAGUUUUCGGGAGGAUAAUAAUUCCAUUUUUAAAAUGUUCAGGAAGGUCAUAGGACCCCCGCAAAGUAUAAGUGUGUAGUUGAGAUUUGGGGCAAAGGUUGGGGGCUCUUUUGGCCAUUUUUUGAAAAUAGACAUUUAGAUUAAAAAAAGGAAAGCAUACUAAACUUUUUUUGCCUUCUUUUUAGGAAUAUGAUUCAAGUACAAUUCUUUCCACAAAUUAUAAAAUUUGGAUUUGUUGAAAUCAAUAUUAAAGUAAUGGUAUAAUGCACAGUGUUUUUUUUUCUUAUUUUUUAUUUUCAUUCUUAGUUGUGUAAUAGAAUUUAUACUAAUGGUAUUGUUGUAAAUCUAUAGUUAAAUAAUAAUAUAAAUUGCUUCAUUACAUUGGAUGCUUAAAAAUAAUUUAAUCUAUAUCUAUAUCUCUAAUUUAUAUCUAUACCUAUCUAUAAUCUAUUCUAUAAUAUAUUAAAAGUGUGAAGAUCCUUAAUAAAGUGAUUUGAACUUUCUACCCUUCAUUAAAAAGACUUAUUUUAGAGUUAAUCGUCUUUUCACCUUUUUAUUUCAAUUAAAUAUAUCCAAAAAAAUUAUUUCAAUUGAAAAUUGUUCUAUGAUUUUCUAACUGUCUCUUAUUUGGUUUGUGAUACAAAUUUUCCAUCUACAACUGACAAAACUGUCAUUUACUAUUUUAAAAUAUUUAAGGCUAUUAUUAACUAAAAUAAUUUCAUAAUUAAAUUAAUCCUAUUUUGAUUUAAGUAGAAAGUCCUACAACUAUUUAGGAUUUAAAUGUAACUAAAAUUUACCUUGUAAUAUAAAUCUCAUGAAUAAAUUUUUCCUAUUUUGAUUUAAGUAGGAGGUCCUACAACUAUUUAGGAUUUAAAUGUAACUAAAAUUUAUUUUAUAAUAUAAUUUUUUUAUAAAUGCUUAUCAGUGCAAUAUAUACUAACCAUAAUUAAUGUUGGAUAAAAAUUUAUUACUUAGAAUUUUAGUUCUUAGAAAACUAGGACUUAAACACCUUAUAUAAUUAUUUACUUAUAUUUAAGAAACAAGAACUCCUAUAUUUAGUAUAUAAAUACUACCAUCUAUAAUUAUUUGCUUAAACUAUAAUUCUAUCUAAUGCCUUUUACAAAUCAUUGUUGUCGUUUUUCUCUUUUUUUUUUUCUUUUCUUUCUCUUUUAAUCAAACGUAGGACAAAAGCAUAUACCAUUCAGGAUGACCUUUUUGAUGUGGAGAGCAACAAUUAAUAAAGUUCCAACAAAUGAGAUAUUGAUAAAGUUUGAAAUGAUAUUCAAUCAAAAUGUUAUUGCUAUCUAUUGAAGUGACAUCAAAUCUGCAAUCCAAAAAAUGUUGAAUUUAUUUUUGUAUUUAUUUUUAUUAUUUAAAAAAAUAUCAUAUUAAAUGUAACGUUUGAACUCAUUAAAGUGAGAUACACGCGCAUGACGCGUAUACCUAAACUAGUUUAGGAAAGAUAGUAAAAAGACAAUUUUAUCUAAAGUAGAGACUUUUAAUACAAUAUAAAUAUUGAUAGAUAUAGAUUAACAAUCUUAAAUCAACUAUUACAAGUAAUUACUCAACCGCGAUUUCGAUAUAAUCACGCAUUUCAUCUCUCAAUCCAUCCAAGUUGAUAUACAACUCCUGUGAUCGAUGCGACCGCAUGAGAAUACACACAUACACGUUUCUUUUUUUAUAACUCCGAAAGACAUAUUUGAUAUAUAUUGUCAUUGAAACAAAUACCGUUUAAUUUGGAGUAGGGUAAAAAAGGGAACUGAUCUAUUGUUUUUUGACCAGAUGAUUUUGUUCUACUAUUUUUGACUCUUUUAAUACACACUUCUACUAAAUGAUAAAGCAAAAACAAAAAAAGAAGAUAGCCCCAAAACUCUAACAAUAUAUCUCGUCAGCCUCAGAACUCCAACAAUAUACAGCCUCAGAACUUCAACAAGAUUAAUGGUGGAUCUUUAGAUGUAUAACUUACACACAUGCUUAACAAAAUAUAUAUAUAUAUAUAUUAAUUUAAAUUUUGAUAUUAAUUGACGUGAUGCACUUGGGACACAGACAUGAUGCACAUGGUGCUCACUAGAUGCACAUAAAACACACAUGAAAGCUAAUUUAUUGAUUAUGCUCAAAAAGAGGGCAGGAGUGGCUUAAUGGAAUUGGUAUCCCGAUUCAUCCAAGUUGAUAUACAACUUUUGUGAUAGAUAUGGCUGCAUGGGAGUACACACGCAUUUUUUUUAAACUCCAAAAAAUAUAUUUGACAGGCAUUGUCAUUGAAACAAAUUCCCUCUAAUUUGGAGUAGGGGAAAUAAGAAAAUUGGUCUACUGUUUUUCGGCCAGAUUAUGUUUGUUCUACUAUCUUUGACUCUUCUAAUACAAACUUCUAAUGAUAAACCAAUAACAUAAAAACAAAACAGCCCCAGAACUCCAACAAAACUGGCGUUCAAUCUCAUCUAGUGAACUUUGUGACAUGAGCUAAUGUUUGAAAAUUUAUAAUCAAAGACAUUCCUUGCUAAGUUUGCGUACGUUGAAGCACUGCAAUAGCUAGGGAAAAAGAUUAGAGGAGUGAUUUUAUGAAUAAACUCAUAAGUGAAUAAUGUUGAUUAUAUAUAAUAUUCAAAUUUCAAAGAGUAAUUCAAGUUAGAAUCCACACUUAAUAUCCUACGUAAAAUUGCUUUUGUUAUGAUGAGAUGGAGGCAACAAACAAAUUUUGUAAGUAAAUCACAUAAUCAUAUCUAUAAAGAAAUUCAUUUGCACCAAGUUUUCCAUAAUGACAAAUUACAUUAUUGUAAGUAAUUGUUAAGCAAUUGGUUUUCUUUCUAGGAGUUUCGCCAUCACAUUACACAUAAGAAUAACUAACGUUGAAUAAAGACACCAAUCAAAUUUGCUAUGAAUAGGAAAAGUUUGAAAAAUAGUUUCUUUUGGAUUGAUAAUUUAGUCAGCGUUUCAAGUAAUUCCAUGUGUAGCUACUUUUUAAUACUAAAUAAUCUUUUACCAAAACUAUCCUUCACUCAACACAUGAAAGUUUGGUAAUUUUUAAGAAAUUAAAUUUUGUAUACUAUCAGUAUACAAAAUAUUUUAUGCUACUUUUCAUGGACUUUUUAUGUAUCUAUGUGAAAAUCCACACUUAACAUCUUACGUAAAACCGUUCUUAGCUUGGUACAGUCAACAAAGAAAGUUUGUACUUUGUACGUAAAUCACAUAAUCAUAUGAUCAUAUCUGAUAAGGAAAUUCAUUGAUUGUAAAUAUUUGUCAUACCUCUUUAUUUUUAUUUUUAUUUUGGUUUGUAAAAGUAGGACAAACGAAAAUUAAGCAUAAAGAUAAAGUGGAGUUCCAUUGGAGAGUAAUACUUCAAGCAACAAACUAAAAUUUAGAACUUAUCAAAGAACAGAACUUUAGGUUAUUUUGGGACCAUAACUACAACAUUUUAGGUGUUUAUCCAACAUAGAAAAGUGUGGCGUAAAAUGUUGAAAAACCUUGUUUGAUCAAAAGUCACGCUUUUCGACUUUAGGUAAUAUUUUUUUGAGGUGGCUUAAAUUAGGGUAACCUUUUUUUCAGGCCAUGUUUUUUCAACUAUUGCAUUAGAAACCCUUAGGGCAACAAGAGCCGCAAUGGCAACGCUUUUGAUACCUUAAAUUACAUGUAACCUUUCCUACUUAUAGGCCACACUAGCAUUGCCUAGCCAUUAAGAUAUUUAUUUGUCUUUUCAAUCUUAAUAUAUUUAAAUAAAUUUUUUUAUAAAAAAGAUUGCAUAUGUUUUCUAGGAUUCAUCCGAAAUCUAGCAUGAGUUCAAUAUAUGUUAUUUUAAUACGUAUUUAGAUAAUUUAAGUUGUUAACUAUUGUAAUUUAUAAUAUUUUUUAUGUAAUUUUAAAAUUAAUAUGCGUUACUUUUCUUGUCCAAAUUAUUGUGGCAUUGAUAGUCAAUUAUAUUUUAAAAAUAAUUUAUGUUAAUUAUUGUGGUUUCUAGUAUCUUUCAUAUAAUUUUUUUGAAAUCUAUAACAUAUUAAAUUAUUUUUAGAUAUUUUAAAUUGUUAACAGUUGUAAUUUAUAAUACUUUUCAUGUAAUUUUUGAAUAAUAUAUGCCACUCUCCUUGUCCAAAAUUUUGUGUCGACGACAGCCAAUUAUAUUUUUUAAAUAAUUUAAUAUUUUGAUCAUUGUGAUUUAUAAUAUUUUUUUUUAUCUCAACUUAUGUGGCACAAUACUUAAAUGACCAUAAUAAUUAAUUCGAGGUGAUAUAGUAAAAUCACGACUGAAGCAGCUGAAGUAGAAAUCAGUCAAUUUUUAAAUUUUUUUUGAUUAAUUAUUGUUAUUUACAGUACUUUUUAUUUCAUUUUCAAAUAAUAUAUGUUGUUUUAUAUAUUCUUCUAUCCCGUCCUAAUUUAUGUGGCACUAAUAUAAUUUUGAAAGUCAAUCAAAUAUUUUAUGUUGACAUAUUAUUUUAUUAUUACUAUUUUUAUAAUACAUAAAUGACUUAUAAUAAGGAGUGAUAUAGUAAAAUCAUCGUUUGAAAGACAAAAAUUUAAUUUAAAACAUUAAGAGUUAAUUUCGUAUUUUAUGUCUAUUUUAUUUUUCAUUAAAUAUUAUUUAUUUUCUUAAUANNNNNNNNNNNNNNNNNNNNNNNNNNNNNNNNNNNNNNNNNNNNNNNNNNNNNNNNNNNNNNNNNNNNNNNNNNNNNNNNNNNNNNNNNNNNNNNNNNNNNNNNNNNNNNNNNNNNNNNNNNNNNNNNNNNNNNNNNNNNNNNNNNNNNNNNNNNNNNNNNNNNNNNNNNNNNNNNNNNNNNNNNNNNNNNNNNNNNNNNNNNNNNNNNNNNNNNNNNNNNNNNNNNNNNNNNNNNNNNNNNNNNNNNNNNNNNNNNNNNNNNNNNNNNNNNNNNNNNNNNNNNNNNNNNNNNNNNNNNNNNNNNNNNNNNNNNNNNNNNNNNNNNNNNNNNNNNNNNNNNNNNNNNNNNNNNNNNNNNNNNNNNNNNNNNNNNNNNNNNNNNNNNNNNNNNNNNNNNNNNNNNNNNNNNNNNNNNNNNNNNNNNNNNNNNNNNNNNNNNNNNNNNNNNNNNNNNNNNNNNNNNNNNNNNNNNNNNNNNNNNNNNNNNNNNNNNNNNNNNNNNNNNNNNNNNNNNNNNNNNNNNNNNNNNNNNNNNNNNNNNNNNNNNNNNNNNNNNNNNNNNNNNNNNNNNNNNNNNNNNNNNNNNNNNNNNNNNNNNNNNNNNNNNNNNNNNNNNNUUUAUGUGGCAUUGCUAAAAUAAUGAGAGUCAAUAAAAUUUCUAUAUGUCUUUUAAAUAUUUUAAGUUAUUAAUUAUAGUGAUUUGUGGUAAGAAAUUAGUUUUGAACAUGAUAGCCAAUUAAAUAAAUAAAAUUUUUUACUUCCAAUAUGUAGUUAUAGUUAAUUAAUAUAAAUUAAUAGAAUAUAUUAAAUAUUUAAAUCAUUAUGAUGAAACAAUAGAAUUAUUAUAUAUUGGGGCAUGGUAUGUAAUUAAGUGGGAGUAGAGGGUUUUUUUUUGGGUAAGAGUCAAUAAAAUUUCUGUAUGUCUUUUAAAUAUUUUAAGUUAUUAAUUAUUGUGAUUUGUGGUAACAAAUAAGUUUUGAACAUGAUAGAAAAUUAAAUAAAUAAUUUUUUUACUUCCAAUAUGUAGUUAUAGUUAAUUAAUAUAAGUUAAUAAAAUAUAUUAAAUAUUUAAAUCAUUAUGAUAAAACAAUAGAAUUAUUAUAUAUUGAGGCAUGAUAUGUAAUUAAGUGGAAGUAAUUGGGUUAUUUUGGUAAUUGCAAGAGGUGGUCGAAACCACCUCUUCUAUAUAAUGGAAAUAUUUUGUAAUGUGUAACCUUUACUGAUAUAUAUACCACAAUUCACCAUCAAUAAGCCACAUAAUUGAUGUUCCUAUCACCUAUGACCAAACUUUUAAAGCGCGGUAAUAUUGUGUAGGAUGUAAAAUAUUAUUGUUAAAAUUUAUAUGUAUAACCAAAAACUCAAGUAUGUAUAAAGUGAGAUUUUUAUUUUUUUUAAAAAAAAAACAAGCAACUCUUUGGGGAUCCCAUCUAAGUUGAUAAAAUAUUAAAUUAUUUAAUAUCAAGUAAAGCAAUAAUAAAAGUAUAAACAACAUAAACCCCAACAGUUUGCUACUUAAUUACACUCUUCCCUAUCUUUUUUCAUUAUUAUUACUCUAAAUUUCAUCCAGAUACAUAAAUGAAAGUCAUGAUAUAUAACACACCGAUACAUCACUACCAAACUAAUUGACUAUAAAAAAGAAAAAUAACGGUAAAAAUGAAGAAAACAAUGCAACUAAUGCGAUUCUGCUUGGAAUCUGUAUCUUGAAUCCUAAAAAUUAGUAACAGCUUCAUAAUUCAAUUUUGAAUUACCAAAAACAAUCCCAUUCGAUGAAAAUUCUUUCAAAUUCUCUCAUCUCUGUUUUCUUCUUCUAAUUUCUUUAUUUUGAAUACGUUAUGAACAUCUCCAUUCUGUUGAGAUUUUACAGUGUCUGAAUGAAUAAACUUCAAUAUAUAUAAUACAAAAAUAAUGAAAUUAUUGUUGGAGAAAGUGUUUCAUUUUUUAGAUUGAUUUCGACAAUUUCAAUCAAAUUUGGUAUUGAUUAAUCAAAAUAAAAUCGACGUCAAAUACGUUGUCGAAGAAAAUUCAUUGCCAAUGGUGAUUUGGACCGACAAUGAAGUAAAACUUUAUGUUGAGUUCAAGAAUAAUGUUUUCAAAUUUGUAAUGUAGCUCGAAUGAUGGUAUAUUGGUGCUAUAAUUUGAUACAUUAAUGCUUAUAACAGUUCAAUUGCAUAUGGAAAACGAAUUUCAUAUUUUUUUUUAUUAUGUUUCAUAAGAUACGCUAUUUUCAUAUGUUUCAUAAGAGACGAUUAGUAGAAUAGUGUUGUUGGUUUGUAUGGUACAUUUCUCUUCAUAUUUUUUAAUAUUGUAUCAGGUUUUUAAAAGACUUAAGUCGUCGACAGGCCCUCAAAGUUGUCCCGAAAAUUCACUUAGACCCCUCAACUAAGGCGUGUACCUAUUAGGCCCCUAACCCACCCGAAUUUUGAUUCAAUCAGGCCUUUUUUGCCUACAUAGCACACCGCGUGCAAUGUACUCGCAGGGGCCGCGAGAAGAGUGAUUUUUUUACUAAAUCACGAAUAGAAAGGUGCCAAGUGGUACUGAGGGCCCCCAAAAAAUAUUUAUUAAAAAAUUUAUAUUUAAAUUAUUUUAUUAAUANNNNNNNNNNNNNNNNNNNNNNNNNNNNNNNNNNNNNNNNNNNNNNNNNNNNNNNNNNNNNNNNNNNNNNNNNNNNNNNNNNNNNNNNNNNNNNNNNNNNNNNNNNNNNNNNNNNNNNNNNNNNNNNNNNNNNNNNNNNNNNNNNNNNNNNNNNNNNNNNNNNNNUUCAACCCCCCACCCCAUUGUUGUUAAUUCUUUCUUCACAGCAACCCACCUUCACCAUUGUCGUUAACUUUUUUAGGACAACAAUAAUUAAAUAAAUCAUUAAUUAAAGCUUUUCAUCAAUGAAAAUGGCGACAUUGAAAUUCCUUACCAUUAAUUUUUUAAUGGUAAAUUUAGCAUUGAACAAUAACGAAAAUGGCAACAUUGAAAAUUUUCAUGAACAAUUAAACAAUUAAAGGUAAAUUAAAUAAUUUUUCAAUCAUUAAUUUUUCAAUGUAGACAUUGAAAUUAAAUAAAUCUUUCAAAUUUCUUACCAUUAUUGUUACCUUUCAAUGUCGCCAUUUCGAUUAGAUUUGUUUUUAAAUCUGUCGACGAGUCUUCAUUUUUUACGAUAAGAUUCAUACGAAUUUAAAAGGUAAUUUAAAUCCUAAAGAACCCAAUUUAUAUUUUUGUCGCAGGUGUGUGUGUGUGAAAUAUGUGUGUGUGAACUGUGAAGACGCCGGGGGAGGAAGUGUGAAGAUGAUGACUGGGUGGGGGGUUGCUUUUUUUCUUUUUUCUUUUAAUUAAAAAUAAUUAUUAAAUAAAUAUUUAAAUAAAAAAUGGACAAAUCAGCAACUCCAUUUUUUAAUUAUUUUUUUAUCACGUAUUUUUUUUAAUUGGUUAUUUUAGCCACGUCACGUGAGUGUGUACACACACUCUAUACUUAUUGAUGAUUAGGCAAAAAAGGCCUGAUUGAAUCAAAAUUUGGGUGGGUUAGGGGCCUAAUAGGUACAGGCCUUAGUUGAGGGAUCUAAGUGAAUUUUCGGGACAACUUUGAAGGCUUGUCGAUGACUUAAGCCUUUUUAAAACAUACAUGUUGAUAUUUUGUUUAUGUAUCAUUUCCUAAUAUUGUAUUAUUUUUCUGAUACAUUUAGCUAGGGUUAUUUGUUGGUUGAUGUUCUUUGCUGUAGUAAUAUAGUACAUUAUUGAUUAUGACAAUCUUAGUGUACACAAAAACUAAUAACAUAGGGGAUGAUGAGUAGAAUAGUGUUGUUGGUUAUUAUGAUACAUUACUAAUUAUGUUUUUUAACAAUAAAUAGUAUUUUUAAAAUAAACAUGUUGAAAAUUUUUUGAUGUUGAAUUUACUGAUAUUUUAACUUAUUUUCUGAUACAUAUAGCUUUCAACUUAUUUUUAACAUACAUGUUGAUGUGUUUUGUCGUUCAAAUGAGUUUUAUGCUAUUUCAUGAAAGGUGCACCAUGUUAAUAUGAUUUUAUUCAUUAAAUAUGACUAUGAUACAUCACUAUUUUCAUCAAAAAAAUAACAGUUAUAAAAUGAUACAUAACUUUAGAAGAAAUAUGUAAACUUUUAUACAUUAAGAUUUUAACAGAUAGAUUACAAACUUGUAACUAUCCAUUACUAAGUCACCAAAAUAGACAUAAUAUCAAAAUUAUGAUACAUUGUGCUGUGAAAUAUGAUACAUUGCUAGUAUUUGUAGUAAAAUUUAUGAUACAUAAAUUUACGUAUAUUUAUGUGUUAGUUAUCUGUUAUAUCAUUAUGGUUUGAUAUAUUAAUAUAAUAUAUGUAUAUUUUUGUAUAUGUAGUGUAUAAUCAAAAUAUUUUGAAAAUACAAGAUCAGUAGAACAAACUUAUUAUUGCAUAUAAUGAUACAUUUCUAAUUAAUUCUAAAUAUUUUUAAUACAUUAAUAUGUUAAAUUAUUGAGAAAAGACAUCUUUUCCUUCCUGAACUUGUCCUCCCAACUCAUUUUAGCACUUAAACUUAAGUUCUGUUUAUUUGUCCUCCUUAACAUCUUUAAAGUGUAUUAAAAUCCUCCCUUAACUGCUCGCGUGUAAACAAGCGUCGUUGAGCACGUUAAAACUCAUUUUUUUGUCUAUCUAAUUUCUUGUAAAUAUUUAUUUAAAGAAAAAAAUGCAUAUAUUUAUAUAUAAAAAAAUACAUUAAUAUUAUAUUUAAAAUAUAAAAAAAAUUAAAAAAUAGACACCUUUUAUUCUUUCUUCUCCAAAACAUCAACAACACUCAAAUCCCUCCAUUAACAGCCUCAAAUUCAUUCUCCAUCAACACUCUUCUUCAAUUUUUUUCAUUUUCCUCCAUUGACACCAUCAAAGAACAACCACAAAGACAUUAAAUUUAAAAAAAUUCUCUAUUGAACACCUUUUAUUCUUUCUCCUCCAAAACAUCCAUAACACUCAAAUUCCUCCAUUAACAACCUCAAAUUCAUUUUUCACCAACACACUUCUUCAAUUUUUUUCAUUUUCCUCCAUCAACAUCAUCAAAGAACAACCACACGAACACUAAAUUAAAAAAAAAUCUCCAUUAAACACCAUCUCAAACUUCAAUUCAACUCCCUCAAAAUUUGGACAAAAAUUAAAUUAAAUUGAUGAUUUUCCCUUUAAACAACUUACCAUGAAUGAAAUUUCUUUGAAUUUUUACUUUUGAAUUUUUUUGUUAAUAGGAUAAUUUUUGAAUUGCUUUUUUAAACUCCAAACUUGAAUCAGAAAUAAGAAAAAGAAAACAUCACAAACUUGUUUGUAGGGGUAGGGUUGCGGCUGAUAGGGGUUGAAAAAAAUAAAGGUGUUUUUGUGUUAACAAGAAAGGAGUGAGGAAGGGGGGUUGGGGGGCUAGAAGGGGAGAAAGAGCUAAGAGGGGUACCUACUUUGCUGGGGAGGGGUUAUGGGGGAGAAGGGGGGGAAGGGGGGCGCUGUCACACCCCUUUUUCAACCCGAAAAGAUUAUAUUUUUUAAUGUUUCAAAGGAUUUUAAUAUUAAGUGACAAAAGAUGAGAAUUUUUUUCGAAAAAGAUUAUUUAUAUUCAAAACUUAGAGUCGCCACUUGACAUAAUCCGGUGUGCCAAGUCACCUUUGAAAGAUCCUUUUCAAAACGAUUUGACUCUUUAAAACUGGUUUGCGAAUAGACAUCCUGGUUAAGGUAUUUUAUUGACAGAGGGGAAGGUGUUAGGCACUACGAGUGUAUCGGUUAGUUUGACACUACGAAUGUACAAACCACACAAAAACACGUAAAACAAUCAAACAAACAAACAAAACAAAACGAAUAAAAAAUAUAUUGUCCAGUCCAAGUUAUACAGUUCCAAAAAUAGAAAAAUACGAAAAUGUAAAUUCUAUUCUAAACUAAUCCUAGACUAAGAUCCAUGCCUCACCCGAUGCCUCGGGCCUUCAUCACGGACGUCCUCCGAGUACAGAAUACUUCAGGGUAUUCUCCGGAUAAAAUAAUACAAGUACUUCUCGGGGCAUUCCCCGGCUAAAUGAAUACAUUUGAAUUAAAUAUGAUAAACUAGAAAGAAACAUUCACAUGCACAUUACAACAUUCAACCAAAACAAAAAGUUCUAAAAUUUGCCUACCCGAACCUAUAUUGCCUAUCCGUUUCAACACAUCAUAAAUCUAUCAUGAUUCAUAUCAACAAUAAAUCAAAAUUAAACCGAAUCUAUCCUUUUUGUCAAUUUUCAAUUCUCACACUCAAAUCCCUUUUAUCAAUCACCACUAUUAGCAAACACCAUUUCAAUAAUCCAUACUUAUUUUUAGUAAUGAAUUUAAACAGCAAAACAAUAUCAAUGAAAUCAAGCCAUCAUAAUCAACCAACACGUAAUGCAACCAAUCAAAAUUAAGAAAAGAGAAUGGGUUGAAGAAAUGGACCUCAAUAGAUCUUGAUUUCGUCGAUAAUAAAGAAAAUUCGAACUUGAAACUUUGAAUUAAGCCUCAAUAACGAAUAUAUCCAACUUGGUAUCGAUGAACAAGCAACCCAAAACGGACCACAAUAAACCAACCAAGACCAAAACAGAAAUCACCACCAAAGGAACCUAAGUAUGCAAAAAUUAUUACAGAAUCGAACCGAUACAGGAACGAACAAUCGAUAUUGGUUUGAUCGGCGAUGGGAACUCGAAUAAUGACAAGAGAUUCCGGCCAAUCUAUGACAUUUGGACAUUUUUCUGGUGACCUCAUCAAAGAACACUCAGAAACAGUGAAGAACUUUUAGGUAUUUCAAAGUUGUGAUGACUCAAACCUGUGACGCCCGAAAAUCCAACCAGAAUGACAAUUCCAGUGAUGGGUUUACCAGAAAUCUUAAACCCUCCGUUCUCUCUCUCGAUCUCCUUUCUCUCUCCCUCUCCGUGACUCUUUCUCUUUACCUUCUCUCCCUCUCCGUGACUCUUUCUCUUUACCUUCUACUCUCUUCUUCUGUGUAUGUGCGAUUUAGCCUAAAGAUGUGUGUUUGUUGCAUGAUUCUGUACGUAUGGGUGUGUGUUUUCUUGUUCUUGUGUGUGUGUGCCUUCUUCGUGAAGAAGAAAACCAAGAGCCAAAAUAUGGAUUUUGUUUUUUCUUUGUUACCUGAUGAAGAUGAUAACCAAAGAAUGACACCCCUUCUCUCUUUCUCCGUAUGUAUAAAUAGAAAUUGAGAACCUUUCUUCUCUGUGAAUCACGUGGGCCCCCUUCAAGUUGUUGUGAUGUAUUCUUUUCUCCUUAUCCAAAAAUGAAAAGAAAAAUAUGAUAAAAAAGGAUGGGGUAGGGGUGCAUAUGAAUGGGUGAGGGGGUAGGGAUAGGGUAGGUGAGGCUAAGGGUAUGGGGUGGUGAGGUCUGAGGUGUCUUUUUUUAAUUGGAGAGGUUGUUAUUUUUUAUAUUUUUGUGGGGUAUAAUCACAUGGGUAAAGGUGUACGAUAAAGUGCGGUAAAAAUGAAUAAAAUUGGACUUGAGAGGGACAAAAUUAGGUGUCUACAGCAUGCCCCCCUUUGAAUGUAAACAUGAAGUGUUUUCAAACAAAGAAGUAGACAACGAGACAAAAUUUUGUGCCGACCAUUAUUCAAAAAGAAUGAAACAGAAUGAAACAGAAUAAAACAGAAGGAAAAAGGGAAACCAAUUCUUAACUUUGGACAUCAUACUCAUCCCUAGUUAUAAGAGAGUCAAGUCACAGGUAUCCCCAAGGACUGAAAGAAAAGGGACUAUACCGAGUUGGAGAGUUGAGCGAGGUUCUGUCGAGGUUCCAGUCUACGACUCUGUCAUUACAUCAAAAAUAAAAAUUAUAAGUUAAAACAUAAAUGAAAUUACAAAAUUCCUAUCUAUGCGACUUCUUUUGGACUCUUGACUUGAGUUUCAUCACCCUAUUCUUCAGGCGGGCUCCUGACUUGUAAUUUCUUCAACUUUUUGCCUGACUUUCAAUUUCUUCACCCUGUUCUCUAGGUGGGCUCCUGACUUGCUAUUUUUCAAUUUGUGGACUUUCAAUUUCUUCACCUUGUUAUUUGACUUUCAAUUUAUUCUCCCUGUGCUUCAGGCGGGUUCCAAUGUUGCUUGAAUUAUCAAAACAAGGAAGUGUGCUGCUUACAAAUGCCGCUUGAAUUACCCAAACAAGGAAGUGCGUCUCCUUACAAAUUCCGGUUGAAUUACCCAAACAAGAAAGUGCAUCUCCUUACAAAUGUCGAUUGAAUUACCCAAACAAGGAAGUGCGUCUCCUUACAAAUGCUACUUGAAUUUUGAAAUAAGAAAGUACGUCUCAUUUCCAAUGCCGCUUGAAUUACCUAAAUAAGGAAGUGCGUCUCCUUACAAAUGCCCAUUGAAUUACCAAAAUAAGGAAGUACGUCUCCUUACAAAUGCCGCUUGAAUUACCAAAAUAAGAAAGUGCGUCUCCUUACCAAUGCCUGUUGAAUUACCCAAAUAAGGAAGUGCAUCUCUUUACAAAUGCCGCUUGAAUUACACAAACAAGGAAAUGUGUCUCCUUACAAAUGCCACUUGAAUUAACCAAACAAGAAAGUGCGUCUCCUUACCAAUGUUGCUUGAAAUGUCCAAACAAAGAAGUGCGUCCCCUUACAAAUACUACUUGAAUUACCAAACAAGGAAGUGCGUCUCCUAACAAAUGUUUCUUGACUUACCAAAACAAGGAAGUGCUUCUUCUUACCAAUGUAGCUUGAGUUACCCAAACAAGGAAGUGCGUCUCCUUACAAAUGCCACUUGAAUUACACAAACAAAGAAAUAUGUCUCCUUACAAAUACCACUUGAAUUAACCAAACAAGGAAGUGCGUCUCCUUACAAAUAUUGCUUGAAAUGUCCAAACAAGGAAGUGUGUCCCCUUACAAAUACCACUUGAAUUACCAAACAAGGAAGUGCAUCUCCUAACAAAUGUCUCUUGAAUUACCAAAACAAGGAAGUGCAUCUCCUUACCAACGCCGCUUGAAUUACCCAAACAAGAAAGUAUGUCUUCUUACAAAUACCGCUUGAAUUACACAAACAAAGAAAUGCGUCUCCUUACAAAUACCACUUGAAUUAACCAAAUAAGGAAGUGUGUCUCCUUACAAAUGUUGCUUGAAAUGUUCAAUAAAGAAAGUACGUCCCCUUACAAAUACCAUUUGAAUUACCAAACAAGGAAGUGCGUCUCCUAACAAAUGUCUCUUGAAUUACCAAAAAGAGGAAGUGCGUCACCUUACCAAUGCCGCUUGAAUUACCCAAACAAGGAAAUGUGUCUCCUUACAAUUGUCGCUUGAAUUACACAAACAAGGAAAUGUGUCUCCUUACAAAUGUCACUUGAAUUAACUAAACAAGAAAGUGUGUCUCCUUAUAAAUGUCGCUUGAAUUACCCAAACAAGGAAGUGCAUCUCCUUACAAAUAUUGCUUGGAUUACCCAAACAAGAAAGUGCAUCUCCUUACAAAUGUUGCUUGAAUUGCCCAAACAAGGAAGUUUGUUUCCUUACCAAUGUUGCUUGAAUUAACCAAACAAGAAAGUGCGUCUCCUUACAAAUAUUACUUGAAUUAUCCAGACAAGAAAGUGUGUCUCCUCACAAAUAUCACUUGAAUUAUCUAAACAAGGAAGCGCAUCUCCUUACAAAUGUCUCUUGAGUUAUCCAAACAAGGAAGUGUGUCUCCUAGAGAUAUUGGAUGAUGAGUUUUACCAUGGUUUUGAUUACCAAGCCUGUGCACAAUAUUGUCUCCUGCAUUUGUGGAAGUGAGACAUUGCAACUUUUCAUGUUUAGGCUUUGAAAUCCUUGAUUCGAAGGUAAUAUGUAUUCCUGUUUCAUACAAAGAAAACUUGUUAGUUUAAAAACAUGGUGGCUGAUUUGUGGCUUUGGCUUUUGUGGCAAUCGCUCUUACCCUUGUCACAUUAAUCUUGCUGUCAACCAUUAGCAUAUGUCAUUGACUCACUCCAUCAUUGAUUCGAACUUGGAUUAUCAAGAGUGACUCUGAAACAAACACAGUAUUUUUGCUUUGCCAUGCUUCUCAGAUAAACUCUUUGAGCCUUAAUAUUUCCAUAAGUUCCUAGACUUAUUUAUUGACAAAACUUUCAGCAUGCCUUAUUUCAGCUUACAAUCAUGUCUCUUUCAUGUGUUGGCCUUUUGUCUUGCUUUGUGUAAUUGAAGAAGCUGGUAGCCAGUUUUGAAAUCUUUUCUCACUUGUUUUGAUAUAGAGUUGACUCAAAGACAAGAGAAAAAUGACAAUGACUUUUAUUUGGAUAAUUGACUCGAGAAAACAAAAUAAAAAUAAAGAGAAGAAAGAAAAGACAAUGAAUGUCCCCAUUUGAAAUAAAGAAAUGAAAAAACUAUCUAGAAAUAACAAUCAACUCUAAUGAUUAUACCAUGUAUAUUGGAUCAAGCUUCCCGAUCUUUCCAUCCAAACUUUCUACCAAUUGUUCUUGAGUUAAUGGCUCUGAAACUAAGUUACUUGCUUGGACCCAUUGCAUUCUAAGAGCUCAUUCGGCUAGUGGCACAUUGAAGGAUUUUUGCCAACAAGUCUCUCAUUUUUCUCUCAACUCACCAUCGCCUUAUGAUGCCCAUGGUGCCCAUGGGUUUUCACCAAUAAAACUCUCUCAUUUUUAUCUCUCUCAACUUAUCAUUGCCUUAUGGUGCCCGUGAGGGUUUUCACCAAUAAAAUUCUCAUUUUUAUUUCUCUCCUAAUUUCUUAUGCAAAGAAAGACGAGUAGUUCCCAAAAUGUGUCAUCAUAUCCAUUGCAUGCUUAGUCUUAACAUUCUCAAAGAUUGAUCUGAAGGUCUUUCUUUGGUUGUAACUAAUUUUUUGGAGAGGGUUAGAAAGAAAGGAUGGCAUGGGGCCCAAAUAACACUUGAAGUGGGGUGACACUUACAAUUUUUGGAAUCGACUCAAACAAUGAGGAUACCUCAUGCCCCAGUUUAUUUUGACUAGGUGACUAUAAAUUGUUUAUUUGGUUGGACCGAGCCUCGGGUAGAGGAGCCUACGUAUCUCACCCCCGAGAGAAGAGAAUCAGGUCAUGCGUAGUUCUGACAGCUUGUUCUUUUACUUGAUUCUGAUUAUUUUUCCUUUUAUUGACUUUUUCUCUUUGGAACUUUUCUGACUCUAUUUUUCUGAAUAGAUUUUUACGAGACCUGCGAAGAGGAUAAUUUGUAAAAAAAAAAAAAAAACCAUACUUUUAGUUGACUUUCAUUCUAUAUAUUUCCAACAGUGAUUCGAAUCCAUAUUCUCUACUAAUUCUAGGUAGACACAAGCAACCACAUAUCGUAAUAUACAAGAUGAGUAACGAGUGAUGCGAGACGAGAUGAUUUGUAUAUUCCUAAAACUCAAUCUGUAAAUAAUAUAAAGAGAGUAGAUGAAACAAAUAUGCACCUAAAAGGGCGAUGUACAGUUGUGUGACUCCUCUAACUCAUAUGUAUUUGGUAAAAUAUAAAACAGGGGAGGAUAAACUCGUCACACUAAACAUCCAUAUAUUGAACAGUCGACAAUUUAAAACAAGGCCCCAUAUUCAGGAAUCGUAUUCGCAGAGAACAAGAAACAACACCAACAUAUACUUAAAAGCCAAAUAAGUUACAUAUUAACAUAGCCAAAAUAUAUGUAAGAGAAAAGGGAUGAAGGCCGAGUGAUGACCUUGUUUUGAGCAGCAAACUUGAGGCUUCAACGUCAAGUUUCCGGCUUGAGCUCGACUUUGGAACUCAAUCUCGGAAUCAAGAAAAUACCAAAGAUUUUUUAAAAAAUUGAAUGUGUGCUCUCCCCUCUCCGAAUUUGAAAUCUUAAUUUUCUCUCUUAUCCCCCGAAACCGUGAACCCCGUUUUGAACCUUUCUCAACGAAGUCCCUUUAUUUCGGAUUUCCCCCAAUUUUCUAAAUCUCCCUCUUCUAUUUUUGAACAUCCAAAAAACCCCCAAUCCAUUCACCCUCCAAUCAAAAACCUCCCCACCUCAAGAGUGAAAAAUGUAACUAUUUAUCGGCAAAUCCGGACUUGAAAGUCCGGAUUUGAAACCAAAAAUUUGCAGGGGCCAACGGGCAAAUCGAAGGGGAGGAAAUCAAAAUUUAAAAAUUGAAAGGGACCUCACAUACUCGAAAUUUCAAACGUUUCUCAUGCCUUAAUGGUGGAUUUCAAAAGACACCUCUAUUACUGCACCAAUUUGGGACUGUUUCUCUCUGAUUUCAGAGAUUCGUGGGUUGGACUUGGCCGAGAAGGGGAGAAUCUUGGUAGGCUAGCGGCAGGGGCGCGACAGCUAUUGCUGCUAGCCCCUCCGAUUUGGGUGAGAGAGAGGAAAUGGGAAGAGAAAGGAAAAAAGUCGUUUGAUUUUGUUUUGUUUUGGGAAGAGUUAUGCUGAUGGAACGUUGCUCCUUGGGAAAGGAAAAGCGUGUAUUUGCCUAGGGGAGAGGAAGACAGUUGUUUGUAUUGGUUCCUUGAUUAAUUUUGAUCCAUGAAUAAAUAUUCUAAAAAUAAUAGUAAAGUAUAUAUAAGCUGAUUUAAAAUUGAUUAUUUUGUUUUUAUGUUUUAGGUUUAUCAUUAAAAGUUUGUAUUAGAAGAGUCAAAGAUAGUAGAACAAAAAUAUUCUGGUCGAAAAAGAAUAGAUCAAUUUUCUUAUUUAUUUUCCUCCAAAUAAGAUGGUCUUUGUUUCAAUGACAAUACUUGUCAAAUUUGUCUUUCGGAGUUUUAAAAAAAAUGUGUUUGUACUCCCAUG